This 66889-nucleotide long non-coding RNA is filed under the name Coffea arabica (coffee). RNAcentral describes it as "long non-coding RNA (CARA_LNC001953)". The record is from RNAcentral. Lineage: Eukaryota; Viridiplantae; Streptophyta; Magnoliopsida; Gentianales; Rubiaceae.
UUUUUUUUUGUAAUGUUUUUUAUGUUUCGUACUGUGUUUCCCUUGACGUUUUUGAAUAUUAUCAUUAAUGAAUUUUGGUUGAUAUGAAUUGACAUCAUUUGAUAUUAUUUUUCUGCUAAUAUUAGUUGGUGAUGGUUGUCAUUGAUUGAUUUUGAUGUUAGCUGAUGAUGUUACUUUUGAUGGCAAUUACUUUCUGAUUUUAUAAUGAUAAAAAGGUGGAGAAAUUACUGAAUGAUUUUGAAUUGGUGAUUUUGAAUUGAUUAUGGUUGCUAUGUAGAAGAAGGAUUUUUUGAUAAUAUUAUGUUGACUAUGAUGAAAAUUACUUUGCUCAUGAUUUUUCUCAUGUUGGUAUUGAAUGAUUUUGAAUUGGUUAUGGAUGCUAUGUGUAAGGGGGAGUUUUUGCUCUUUUUUUUAAAUAUCAUCCAUUGUUUUGUCAUCAUCAAAAAGGGGGAGAAUGAUGAUCUUAAUCCCGAUUUUUUGAUAUUUACAAAAUAAUUGGAUAAUUCAAACUAAUAUUUUUUCAAUGCGAAAGAUUUUCAACUCUGAAGAAAUUUGAUUUAAAAAGUAAUUGAAAGAAGAAAAAAGAAAGUCGAAAACUGUCGGACGCUCACAAUGACAAUACCGGAUAUCCGAUAGAAAGGGCAAGUACCGAACGAUCAUAUCGGACGAAAAACAUCAUCACCAGACGUCCGAAAGAAAUGAAAUGAUUUUUCAAAUUUCCUUUCCGCUUUCGGACGCAAGCAUCGGAUUCCGAUACUCCCAAUGGCUAGUUGACUCUUCAUCUACUUUCUAUCCGUUGGAAGCUUUAAUGAAGUACUUUUUUGGUCUCCCAUAAAUAGUGCAUGGUCAGAAAUUUUAAAAAAAUACUUUUUGUACACUGAGAAUACAAAAAGAUCAAGAGUAGUUUUAGUGAGAAAAUACUCUCCAAGUAACGUUUGUACUCUUUGUAAUGUAAGAUUUUUUGUAAACUUUUCAUUUGUGAAAGAAUAUUUCAAUAGUGUUGUGACGAACCCACCUUCUCCUAGGGCCUACCCUAGAAGUUAGCGAAUCGCUUGCAUGACUCUCGCCAGGACUCAAUCACUUACAUGAACUUCAGAGAUAACAUUAUCAUUGAACAACUGAACAUUCACUCUUAAGUACCACUCCAAUCAGCUUGAAACAUAGAUUUGUCCACUAAAAGAAACAAAAUACUCGUUCUAAACAUCCAUUAUUAAUAUUACAUCAACUCAAAACAGAAGAUUCAACCAUCUUAAAAUACAAAAGAAAACGUGACUCCAAUAUAUACACAUAGUGAUGGAAUUUCCCAAAACAACUUUCCAAUUCCAUCUAUUCACUUUUCAAUCUCCAACUCCUGUAAGGAAAACAAAGUUAAAAGGGUGAGCUUACGCCCGUGAGGUUUCCAUGCAAGUAACAAUCAAUAAGCACUUAAAUCAGUACAAUUAAGCGAGUAGUAUACAUUUCACUGUACAAUCACUUUCAUUAAGCAAUUGAGGAAGCACAUCACCAAACAAUCACUUUUAAAAGGAUACGGUGCUCGCAUUAGAGCCACUUCAAUGCACUACACACUCCACCGAACUCCUCCUUAUAACCUCCAAAAUAAUAAACACUUCCCUCACUUGGAUGGCCAUAUCAAUAUCAGUAAUCUACUACUCCGUGGUAAUACUCGAGUAUACCGAAACAGUUACCCAAAGCUACCGUCCUACCCGACCAAGCCCUUUGCUGGCUCGAAUAGUCCGUUGAACAGAGGGUUUUGGGGCCCAGUUCAGCUAGUGUGAUAAGGUACACACAUGGCUUACAGUCAUGCACACUUACAAUAUCACUUGAUCAAAUAUCAACCUUUAACCUCAACUAUGUCGAGUGCGAUAAAGUACACCCUCGACUUAGAAGGCGAGGGACAAUUGAAAACACUUCACAAUGAAUCACUUAGCAAUAUUUCAUAAUAAGCACAUUUGCCAUAUAAUUGCAUUUAUGUACACAUAAGCAGUUUAACACAUAAAUUCGGAAAACACUCACCAAAGAUUCAAAUGACUACUCUCGAGUCUCGAAUUGGUUUCCUGGUUCACGGCUACUUCCUGGUACAAGUUAAUAAUUCUAAAGUGAAUAUUCAUUUUAUAUACAACCAUUUAAGGUUUAAGUAACUAAAACCCAAGUUCCUAAGCUUAUAAAACGAAUCACCAAAAUCUAGCAACCUUCCUUACGUUUGUCUUCAAGAUUAUUAAGUUUGGUAGCUUUAAAACAAGGUUAAUGUACAUAUACACCAAAUUUUAAUAUCAUAUAAACACUUGAGCUAAGAUUAACUCAUUUCCAAUCUAAUGUGCAAGGACUAAGACAAGCAAACGUUUCAUUUCUUCCGUCUAGGCUAAAACAGAUUCUAGUUUGACCUUAAAGUACAAAUAUAAUAUUUUCAAUAUUCAUUUAUCAUUUUAUUUUGAAACUCAUUGACUUUAUUGUUUUAAUCAAGAAUUAUACCUGUUUUUGCAAGUUAAUAAUUUAUAAGAUAUUUAUUUUAGGAGUAAAUCAUUUUCCACUCAAGAUUAUAAGCGGUUUAGGAGUACUUCAUUGGUCCCCUUUUUAAUUAAUUAAACUCUAGGUUAUUUGUAAGUUAAAUUUUAUUCCACUACACCAGCCCCUCAAAUUUUAUAGUCUUUAAAAUAUUUGUGAAGACAAUAUUAACUAAUUAGAAGCCAAUUUAGGUACAUAAUUAUCAUGAGUUUUCCCCUCAUUUGCUUUAGUUUAACUCUACUUGUGGAGCUGUAUAUAGCCAUUAAAUCUCAGGGUAACCGUAGCUAUCAUUUAUGAAAGCUUACAAAGUUGGAAAUUAGAGGAAAUGCUGGUUCAAAUUUGGUUCCUCAUGGCCAUUAUCAAAGCAAAGUGCAUCCGGGAAGAAAAGGAAAGCAAUAAGAAAGGCAGCUUUGCCACCCUCUGAUAUUUUGAUCACAACUGGAGCUACGCUUAUCGGAUUGAGGCGAAUUUUAUAGCGUUUCGAAGCUAAGACAUAGACCUACAUUUAUUCUGAAGAUAUCGACAUCCAGUUAUCGCAUUUUCAAGGCCAAAAAGGGACGGUCAGAAGCACAAUCUGUUUCAUUUUCUCGGUCAGCAACCAAAACUAGUAACGUUACUUCAAGUUUUCGACGAAAACUCUAUUCUUUCACUUGCUUAAAGCUCUAAAUAUUUAAAAUACAUUCACUCCAGCAUAUACCAAGGCAAAUAGCAUCUAGUUUCAACAAAUUAUUCAACCCAAAAGCUACGCACAACAAUCUGUCUUCAACUAAUUACAAUUUACAGCAGUAUAGCAGUUUAACAUGUGGUGUUUUCUCAUAAUUUUCUUUUCAAUUUCAUGCUCCAACUAGACAUGCAGGGGAUGAUCAUUCAACUACAGACCAUCUUAAGCAAAACAUAGAAAUUUAUAGCCAAAAAUCCAAGAGAAAAGCUGAACCAAGAUUUAUAUCCUCUCUCGACUAUAAAGCUGGUUCGUAGCAGCAAGUAAUGCCUAAAGACGAGUUUCUUCUACUAGAUCCCUCCAUUUUAUGCUCAAACCUCUCAUGCAUGAAGAAAUCAAGAUGUUAUACAACAUAUUACAGAUUAACACAGAAUUUUAGAGUCAUUAUUCACCAAAGACAGCUUAAACUUUUCCAUCCCCCCCUCACUCGGAUGAAGCUGGAAAAAAUCCAGCAAGGAUCUUCCAUCGGUCCUCUCAAUUUCCAACUUUUCCCAAAUUUCUUCAACUAAACUUCUAAUAAUACCUGAGAUAACCAUAUUACAUGCUUUUCUUAUAUUAUAUUUUCCAUUUUUACACUGCUAAUGAGCUGAAAUUCAUGUAAUUAACUCCCGGUUGCUACAACUUCAGUCAAAUAAUCAUUUUAACCUCAAACCAGAAUUUUUCUUCAAUCGAAGCUCAUUUCCUCUGCUAAAACUUAUCUUGCAGCUUGUUUAUAUAUAUAUAUAUAUUAUAUAAUAUAUAUAUAUAUAUAUAUUCAUUUAUACUCAAUAAAUGAGUAUUGAUCACAGAGAAUUUACCUCUUUCCUUUAAGAGUUAAACUGACCAGAUUUUCCCAGCUUUGUUUCCUCAAGGUCUGCACCAGCUAUCCCUCCUAUUUUCCUUGCCUUUCUCUUCUUGAUUAUGAUCAGUAGAUGAUAAAGCUAACCAAAUUUUCUCUCCCUCACUCUUAGUUCCACCCCCUCGAUUCCAUUUUUGGAAAGAAAGAAAGCAAGCUGCCUUGUGUUUCUUUCCUCUCAGUCACCGCCCAACUAGAAAUUUCUUUCUCUUUGUUUCCUCUCGGUUGUCUUCCAGAAGAUGGCUUCCUUAGGUUGCAUAGUAGUUUAACCAAGAUUCAGGGUUAGUUAGGUCAUUGGUAUUAACUUAUUUGCUCACUAAGGGGCUGCGGUUUUAUUAUUUCAUGCAUUGACUUCAAACUUCAUUUGUUAUAAUUUAUAUACCCUUACAAAAUUCUCGUACAUUAAUCUAGGAGAUUUUCAUACAUUCGGUUUUAAAGGAAAAUCAACUAGACAUAUAAUUUAUUCAACUGUAUAAUAUAUGCUACGUGUCUAGUAAUAUAUGCAAAUGACACAAUUUACAAUAUACAUACCAUGUGUUUAUUUGAUUCAUAAAAAUUUUUCUACACCAAUCUAGGAUAUUUCUAAUUCUCGAUUUCAUAGAAAUUCAAUUGGACAUUUAAUUUAACCACUUAUUCGUUAUUUCUAAUAAAAUAAAUGCAAAGCACACACCUGAUUUUCUCGAGUUCUCACAAGUGUAACUUUGUGAGGAUUAUCCUGAGGGAUUAUAAAACUUCUUAACUUGACCGAGUGAAACUUGGGACAAGGAGGAAGUGAGCCUUCCUUUAUACACAAGAUUGGUUGUAUUACAUCAAUUUGAAGAAACAUGUUUUGUGAAUUGAUCUUCGAGGUAAGAGGAGGUUGGUAGUCAAUUAGUUUGCAAUUCUUCUCUUUUUAUUUAUUUAUCAUCUUGUGAUCCUUAAAUUGCAUAUCUCUUCUACUUCUCUCAAGUGAUAUUCCACCUUUAUUGAUUAAUUCAUUGUGUGAUCUCUUAGAAAAGAGGGUAAAUUUCGUAUUGAGCCAAAAGUGUCCAUAACCUGAUUAGUUAUUUUUAAUCAACCUAAUUUACCCUUCUCUUAGGUUGUCUUGGGGCCUAACAAAGGCGCAUAAUUAGACAUGUACUAAAAACAGAGUUUAAAUUAAUAAAGUAGAUGGAUGUAAUAGAAGUUAGACAUGGAGUCCAUCUUCGUUGAAGCUCAUACAUUAAUAAUAAUUCACGAGUAUGCAGCAAAGCUACUCAGCAUUCGUCUGUUAACUAAAAUCAGGAUACUAAAUCCAACAAUAGCUCAUGUUUAUAUAGAAAGAAAAGCCUGAAAUAUUGCUCUGGACAUUAUUACGUGGCACAAUCAAACUAACAUGAGAGUAUAAGUCAACUUAUCUGGAAAACUGAAUUCCAAUUUAGCAAAUUACAAUUGGAACAGAUUUGGACUUUUUACCAACCACAACUAGCAUCUAGGACUCUGAAAAAGUAUGAAUGAAUAGCCAAGAACCAUUAGACUUAAAAAAGAACUAUGACAUGGAAACAGACAUAUAGCAAUCGAAAAAGACAUGAUGCAAGAGAUAUGUUGAUGCAAAACAGAGGCACUUCAAAUCUAUGACCAUAACAAGCGAGCAAUCUAAAACAUUCUUGACAGUCAUUGAUCAAUAAUCAAUCAACAUGGUUAAUAGAUGACAAUCGAGUAAAAAGACAAUACCCCUGCAAAGUUAUAAGUCUUCCCAGAUGAUUAAAUAAAAAAAAUUUAAAAGAUAGAGUCACUCUCCAACGAUGACCACAAAAGAAAAGCAACCUGAAAUUCUUUACUUGGUCUAUUGCACCAAUGUAAAAGGCACAAGCAUCACAAAUUCAAAAUCUACUAAAGUUUUUAAAUAGCAUAGCUUCAUAUCUAGUCACUCUCAAAGUAUGACCACCAACAGCAAGCAACUUAAAGUAUUCAUUUUAUUAAUAAAUCAUGCAAAAGUGUCAGAAUCUAAAAGUAGCUACUGCUGCAACAGUGACUACUAAAAGUGUUAGAAUCUAAAACUAACUCCUCCAAUGUAAUAGUACGUGACCAAAAUUGACAAACCACAGAAAAGAAAAAAAAUAAAAAUAAAACAAAAUAUUUUGCACAUAACUUCCCCUUCUAUAUGAUCUGGUUUCGAAAUUUAUCAAACAAAUCAAGUGAUCAAAGGCACAUUAAAAAUCUCAGAUUUGAAGCUAUUGAAAACCAUACAAACUCUAAAACCCUAAUCUACCAAGUAAAGUUACAUAUCCUAGAAAACCUAACCAAGCUUUAACCCUAAAAACCUAAUCCUCCAAGUAAAGUUACAGAUCCUGGAAAAUCCUAAUCAAGAUUUAACCCUGAAAGACUUUCUGUGCUAUAGCAGUUUUAAAUCCAGAUUUUUAUAAAUUCAAAUUUACUCUAAAAAAUGUUCUAUGUCAAUAAACUAAAUUCCUAUCUCCCAAAAUUCUGAAGUCCAUAAAUCUGUCACAAAACAAAUAAAAAAAAGUUACUCGUACAUAAAAAAAAGCAAAAAAGAUCAUUUAGUCAUAAAAGAUUAGCAAUAUCGAGAAAAUAAAUUGAUAAAAUUCAAACACCAUUUAGAAAAGAAAAAUAAAAAAAUUAAAGGUAUUAGUAGACAUUAUUCACCUGAAUGUUCCACUAACAUUUUAACUAGUCAAAGUCCAUGAAUUUGCUGCACUUUUCAGAGGCUGAACCACUAUCUGAAUAAAGUAAAAACCCCAAAAAUCUAUAUCACACAUUCUGGAUGGAAUUUUUAUUUAAGUGAAAAAAGGAAAGUUCAAGAACCGACCUUGUAUCAAACAUUUCCGAUGAAAUAUUUAUUACAAAAAAUAAAUUGAAUUUCAAAAAGAAAAACAAAAAAUUAGUGAAAUGAAUAGCUUUAGUUUGCCAGAAUCUUCAAUUGGCGUAUGAACAAAUAAAAAAGCCCUGAAUUUGCAUCUUUCUUUCUCCGCCAUUUUCACACAUAGAAACACACAUCCAAUCCCGAUCUCUUCUGGAAAACAAGAAUUUGUUCAAAGAAAACUCUGAAAAUUUUAGGAAAAAAAUAUAAAAUUAGGACCAAUUUGAACGUUAUAAUUUGGGAAAAAAUAUAAAAAAAAGUACAAAAAUUUUGAAAUGACACAGAGAUAGUGAAUAUCAGCUUUGAUAAGAGAAGUGAAGGAGGAAAGGCAAGGGAAGAGUAGGAGGGUUUAUAUAAGGAGAUGGUAUUUUGAGAAUGGGAAAUCGCCAAUUUGGUUUCUAAACUUUUUCACUUAAACCAAUUUCAUUCUUUACGAUUUUGUUUCACCAAUUUAGUUCUCAAACAAUUUUAUCGGGUUCAAUGUAAGACUUAUUGGGAGGCGCCAACACAUUUUAUGUAUUUUCCACGGCGGAUCAAGGGUAUAAUUGGAAUGACAGGUUUAAUUGUCUAAUUAUAGGGAUUAUAAUAGCAACUUUGACAUCAUGAAGGAAAAGAAACCUCUGAAAAUUGGGAGAGAAGAGCUCAUAGGAAUUAGGGCAAGUCACUGAACUUGGAUAUUUGCAAGUGAAAUGCAAUCAACCAGAAACUUGGACAACUCCGCCUCAAGUUUAUAUAGCAGCCAACACUCAAAUCUAGGUAGCCGAGCAAGUGGGCAAUUGACAGGGGUGAAGGGAGAAAGGGUAGAAUUCUACAAUGGGGAUGAGGCAGUAAUUUGUCAUUGCCGUGAAGAAUGUAGAAUUGUUACUUCGUGGACAUUGGCGAACCCAGGCAAAAGAUUUCAUGGAUGCAUAAAUUACGGGGUAAUUUUUACAAUUAAUCACAACAUAUUGCUUGUAUAUUUGAUGUAUUAUAUAAUUUACUACAACUAAUGGCUGGAAUUAAUGGUCAUUGUAGACACCAAAAGCCUGCAAUUAUUUUCUGUGGUAUGAUCCACCUAUGCAACUGAUAACAAAAAAUAUGAUGGCGAGAAAUUUGAAGAAUUUGAGGAAAGCUAAGGAAGAAAAUAAUUUCAUGAAAAUUGAAAUGUGUAAGCUUGAAGAAGAGAACAAGGUGCUCAAAAGUGAAAUUAGGAAGUUGAAAGCAGCAAGGAAGUGGCUAAUGCUGGUCGUGGGUUGCAUAUGUAUUAUGGUUAUUGCUGUACUAUUACCCAGUGGCAAUGAAAGGAAUGUCAACUUAAAAAUGCUACAUUAGAUCCUAUUGUAUGAAGUUAAAAGUUGAGUAAUUGCUUCAUGUAAUUUGAAUGCUGUAAUGUUGGAAUGUAGACAUUGGUGUAUGGAACAUGUUUAUGUACUAAAAUGGAACAUUGUCUCGAUUGGUGUUUUUGUAAAAUGAUUGAGAGAUUUUGUCAAAGUUGUUGGGCACAUUAUCUCCAACAAUAUCUUUAUAAAAUGAUUGAGAGAUUUUGUCAGUUGUUGGGGACAUUACCUUGAAAGACGUCUUUGUUAAAAUUUUACCAGAGAUUCACCUCAAGUUGUAUAACAAAGUUGAUAGAGUUUCGUCUUAAAUUUUGACAAUCCCUACUGGCACAAUUACCAAAUGUAUCAUAUAAAAUGCUAAACAACAAGAAGAAAGUCAAAGUAAAUGGUACAAGAAGAGUGCCAAUAGAAGUUCAUAGUCAUCAACAUAGGUGCGACAUUGCCAAUAUAGCAGGCUGAAUUUUACAAAAGCAUUAAUUCUCUUUAGACAAAAUGCAGCCACAUCAGAUCAUUAGAAGUUGACACAUGUAUAUUAACCAAAAUACAUCAAAUUCCUAUCGUUAAUCCAAUUAGUACUUUAUGACAAAACAAAAGCUCUUAAUGUACAAAACAGAGCAUGUCCCGCAAAAUAGAAGCUUUUUAUUCCCAAGCUGCAUUAAGUUGACCGGCAACAAUAUCAUCUUCUUCAUCCAACAGCCUAUGUGCCUGCACAAAAAAAUCACAUGUCAAAAGCCAUAAACAGUCUCCUUUUAAGUCAUGUCAAAAUCAUUGUCCAGCAAAUGUGCAAGACAUGCUGUUAACUUUAUAAAUUACUUCAACUUACUGUCUCCUUUUUCCUAGUCAUUUUUCCAUUUGAUAGAGGGAAUGGAUCAAAAACAGUCAUAGCAGCCUUCCUUUUUCUCCAUGCUCGAGCUUGCCAGGUUCCACAUGUUUGCCGAUUAUGUCCUAAGCCAUGACAGAAGGAACACUUGGUGAAUUUCUUUCGCACUUCAGGUAGUUCUUCUUGAGCUUAUGGCUGUAAAUCAAUAACCUAUACAUCAUCAAUAGCAGCCUGUGCUUUAUCACCUGACCAUGAAAUAAAGUUAAACAGUUAACAAGUACAAGAAUAAAAUUAUUAUGAACUACAAAUACAUGGAAAAAUCCUAUUGCUGACCAGUUGGAACAUCUGGCAUUGAGCUAGAUUCUGGAGGUACUUCAGUCGGCUCCUUGUCAAACACUUGAUCUAUACUCAUCAAAGCACCAUUAGUUAAGUAUUACACCAUAAAACCAGUGGAGGGAUAGGUCAAUUUACCAGGUUUUGGGGGUAAUUCACAUGUAGCAUUCUCCCUUGUCUCAAGAUUUUGUGGACAAGUUCUCUUGUUAUGGCCAAGUGUCGUGCAUUUGCACCAAGCUCAUUAGAAGGUACCAGCAGUGGACACUUUCUCACUGUAUGCCCCUUUUGAUUGUAAUUUUUACAUGCCAUUCUAACAAGGCCAGAUUUGGAAAGUUUGGUAAACCCCUUUGAAUUAGGCCUAGGCUCUUCUAGUUCCCUUCUUCUUACUUUCUUUGGCCGACCAGGUAACUUCAACCUCAAGGGUGAUAAGACAGGAUCCUUAUCCGAUUGCACCCAAACAUUUGGCCCACUCAAAGGAGCAAUUGCUGGCCCAUAAGCCUUCAAGUAACUGUCUCGUGAGUAGUAAUGAUGAACAAGACUUUCUGGCUCUUGACCUAUUAAAGAAAUACAACAAAUCACAUGGCAGCAUGGCAAUCCAGUCAACUCCCAUCUCCUGCAGCUACAGGUCUGCUGCUUUAAGUCCACCACAUGUUUGCCUCCAUACAUGUGUGUAACCUCAAAUUUAUCUUGAUCAGACCAUCUCGCAAUGUUUGCAGCUGCUUCUAUUUUUUUCCUUCUCCAGUUUCUUUUGAAAUUUUGGGCAAAUCUUAUCACUCAUCUUUUUCAUCCACUCCCUUUUCGUACGAAGCCUUUCUAUUAGAUAGAUUCUGAUAGUCUCAAGCAUUCCAAGGGUUGGCUUUUCCCUUGCAUCCAUUAUGACCGAAUUAAAACUUUCACAUAAAUUAUUAAGGAGAAUAUCACACUUGGCAGUCACUCGAAAGUGUGAUCUUGACCAGUAAUAGGGAGAGGUGUUGUCAUUUAACCACUUCCAAGCAGCUACAUCAUAAUCCCUUAAACACUCUAUCUAAUUUUCGAACAUCCUCAUGUACGAUGACCUUGCACAUGUCCAAAAUCUUUCCUUCAAUGCUUCACCCAGAUGAUAUUUUUUGAAGUUGUUGUGCAAGUGCCUUACACAAUGUCUGUGCUCAACAUCAGGAAUGACUUCUUGAAUUGCAGAUCCUAAACCCUGCAAAAAAGACAAAUGCAGGUUUGAAACAAUCAGUAAGAAUUCAUAUAUCUGCAAUAAACAUAUACAAACAAUGUAAUCUGAUUUUAUUCACCUUCUAUCUAUAACUUAUGAAGCUCCAAUUUCUUUGAUCGUUGAUGGAUAGGUCAUAUUUCAAGAAUUCAAUAAACCACUUCUAUGACCUCUUAUUUUCUGCUUCAACUACUGCGUAUGCAACUGGAUAAACACAGUCAUUUGGAUCUAUUCCAACUGCAGUUAAUAACGCACCCGGAUGUGGACCUCUCAAGUGGCAACCAUCAACUCCAAUUAUCUUCCUAAAACCAGAUUUAAAUCCCCUCUUCAGUGCCUCGAAGCAAAUGUAAAGUCUCUGAAAUCUUUGUUUUCCGGAAUCUUUAUCUAAUGUAGUCUUCAUGUACACUGUAGAACCAGGAUUUGCCUUCAUUAGUUCAUCACAAUAAUCCCACAAUCUGUUGUACUGAUCUUUGAAGGUCCCAUGGAUCAAAAUUUUUGCUGUCAUGAAUGUCUUAUAAACUUGAGGUUUAGUAAUGUUUACAUUCAGCUUUGCAUGUACCAUAUCCUUGAACUCUGCAACUAUUAUUCUCUUGUUCAUCCUUAGAAAGAACCAACCUUGUAUCAAAUAUUUCCGAUGAAAUAUUUAUUACAAAAAAUAAAUUGAAUUUCAAAAAGAAAAACAAAAAAUUAGUGAAAUGAAUAGCUUUAGUUUACCUGAAUCUUCAAUUGGCGUAUGAACAAAUAAAAAAGCCUGAAUUUGCGUAUUACUUUCUCCGCCAUUUUCACACACAGAAACACACACCCAAUACCAAUCUCUUCUGGAAAACAAAUAAUUUGUCGAAAACAAGAAUUUCUUCAAAGAAAACUCUGAAAAUCUUAGGAAAAAAAUAUAAAAUUGGGCGCAAUUUGAAUGUUAUAAUUUGGGAAAAAAUAUCAAAUAAAGUAGAAAAAUUUUGAAAUGAUAGAGAGAUAGGGAGAGAGAUGGUGAAUAUCAGCUUUGAUAAGAGAAGUGAAGGGAGGAAAGGCAAGGGGAGAAUAUGAGGGUUUAUAUAAGGAGAUGGUAUUUUGAGAAUUAACGGUCGGGCAUUUCAAAAUAAGCAGAGGAAUCUCAUAGUCGGUGACUGAGUGUUGUUUUCUUCGUAAUUCAAAGUGCCCCCCUCAUAAAAUAUUUGUUUCUCGUUUUCUCCCCAUGAUUGUUUUACAAUUGGAUCCAUUUGUAGCCUAAGUUUUUCAGUUUUUUUCUAAUUUCACCCAAUUAACUUGACAACCCCAAAACUGAAUCUGAUUUUGUCACUAAGAUGCACAGAUUGCAAGAAAAGGAGAAAAAGGUACAGCCUUGAGGGAAAAAAGGUACACGUAAGGGCUUAUUUAUUCAUAAAUUGUAUUUUCUAUCUAUUCUCAUCUAGGAUAAUUUGUACAUUUUGUAAUUAAUCAAAAAUCUGGUCCACAUUGAAUAAACCAAGACAAGAUUAUGGAAUUUUUAAACUUCCAUUUUCUAUAAAUUAGAGAAUGUUAACUAUUACAUGGUCUAUAGUUAAUUCUUUGAAACUAGUUUAGCAUUGUGACAAAUCCAUGUUCAACAUUUCUUUCUUAAUCAGACAAUAUAGAAAGAACUAAAUUAUUUCUUAAUUAGAUAAACAUGAAAACUAAGUUAUAAUAAGUUAUUAUUCACCAACACAUUCACAGAUGAAAGCAGAAAUAAAUGUAAUAAAUAAAGCUAAUUUUCAAAUAAAUUAUAAAUAUAUAUAGGAAGAUUUUAAUGAUGAAGAAAAUACAAAAAAAAAGAAUUUGAUUUUUUCAAUUAUUACCCGAUUGUAAAGAAAAAUUAAUAAUAGAAUGAUAAAAUGGAAUUAGAAAUAAGAAAAUUUGAUUUUCCCUUCUUUACUUGGCUAUCACUCUAUAUUUCAAAAAUAGGAAUAAAUGAUGUAUAUAAUACACCUUAUAUAAAAAUCUCUUUGGUGUGUAUAUAGUUGGUCUAUCUGCUUCUACUUGCAAUAUAGUGGUUUCAUCUUUUGAAGUUGGAGUCACUAUAAAUUUUGGAUUUAAUUGUGAAGACAAUGGUCUAUAAUACAUUCAAUAAAUUACAGCAAAAUUUUUUGUAUAUCUUUCAAAUUCGUCUCCUUGUAAAUGAAUAACUAAAACUAUAGAAUUCAAAACAUGUGGAUCAGUUAUAUCUACUGAGAAAUCAGGGGCGCAAUUGAAAUAAAUUGGUCCAUUACAUAUAUUUGUUUGAAUCAUAGCUAGUAAUGAAGUCUUAUAUCUUUUUUAACCUCUUAUCUCUUAAUGCUAGAUAAAUUGGAGCAUCUACCCCUACAUGAACUAAUGGUUUGACUGCUACUUGAAUUAAUUCAAAGUGAAUAUAUCUAUAACCUUUACUGAAAUCUUUUUGAAUAGUAAUAUGAUUCAACAAUGGAAUUGUUUGAAAUUCUUCUUGUUAGAUAUGGUUUCUUCAUGUGUUUUAACAGAUAAAGCCCAGGGUAUGUUAAAACUUUAAAUAAGUAAAACGAACAAUAAUCAGAGUAGUAUAAAGUAAUAAAACUUACAGUAAUCAGAGUAGUCUUUGAAAAUCAGAAGCUUUAAUGAAUUCGAACUUGUUGAAUCAUUGAUGUACAAGGAUUGAAAUUGGGAGUAUAGGGAAGGAAGAAAUAAGAAAGAGCACUCGAAGUUUUUUCUAGGCUGAAAUCUACUUUCUAAAAAACCCGAUGCCUUCUUCGUGAUUUGCAAUCUAUUUAUAGAUGUUACAAAGUUGAAUUUCAUUUGCAUUUGAUUGCCGACACCUUAUCUCUUUGAAAUGUGGCCGACAUCUUUAUUUGAAAUGUGGCCGACAUCUUUAAAAGAUAUUUGGGUCUUGAACACAUGGCCCUCCAAAAGGAUCAAAAGUUGAAUCUGAUGUUGAAUCUGACAUGGAGCUUGAUGCCUCUUUUGUCUUUUGUUCUAGUCCUUUUGCUUGAUUUUGAAGAUAACUCAUGAAUUCUUUGAGCAUCUCUAGAUUCUGCAUCAUCUUUUUGAGUAGAAAUUCAUUAGCUGUUGCUUCUAUUGUUGAAGUUGAUGAUGAUUCCUUCUUUUGGGGAGUAGUUGGAGUACUGACUUUUGAGGCUUCAUGAACUAACCAUUUGAGUUUUUCUCCUGUCUCGAGAAAUUUUAGAAUAUUUUCUUGAUCACAUAGAUCUAGAUUGAAUCCUGCCCACCAUUUAAUCUUGAAUUCUCGAACUAGUGACAUUGGAAGUGGUUUUUCUAAUUCUUGUUGAAUCUUGAAACUCCAGCAAAAUAUCCAUGGAACUUUAAAUUCUAUAUGAAAUAGGAUUGGUCUUGAGUAUUCUUCUCCUUUGGCCUUUUUGAGAUAUGUUUGAAAUCCUAUUAAUGCUCUAGGAGGUAGAAUUUCUUUUUGAGGACCGAACCAAUUCCACCAAUGAUGAAACCAAAUUGGAAAUUCUCUGUUGCAACUUUCUUUGAAUGUAAAGAACCAUGCGUGAUUGAAUGGCCUAAAUAGAAAGGCACGAUACCAAGCCAUUUUGUAAUCUUGAUAUGUAAAUCCAUCUGGAAUGAAUCUUACUGAGAAAGACUUUUUUGAAUAUAAAGAAGUCCAUUCAUUUGGUGAACAAACCUUUCUAAUGAUACGGUUUGAAUGACUGAUUACUUCUGGUUUUUCUUUAUCUGGAAUGGGGUAAAUUUCAAUGGAUUGAGUAUCCGUAAGGAUCAAUUCAUAAUAAUCUAAUUUUUUUGCAGAAUCAUCUAGUUGCCAAAAGCAUUUUGAGGGAAACAAUCUUUGAGUGAGAUUUAUGAGUGCAUUAUAGGGAGGUAUUUCUUGGAAUCUGGUCAAAGUAAUAUGUUGAGUGAACGGUUUAGUGAAGUAGGUGUUUUCAUUAGGUUUAUAUUGGUUUAGAGGUUUUGAAGGGUUUUGAUUGGGUUUAGUGUUGGCAGGGUUUCUGGCUGCCUGAAUAUAACUUAAUGCUGGGAAAUCUUGAAGAGUUUGGAAUCUAUUUGGGGUUACAGGAAUUUGAGUAAGACUUAUCUCAUAAUCUUUUGGAGUCUUUGGUUUUGAGCCUGAACCUUCUGCUUUUGAAUUCAUUUUCCUGCACAAUUCAACAAAUAAUAGACCUUAAUUCUUUUUUCUUCUUUUGAAUCAGAACUUGAUAUUCUCCAGAAUCUCUUCUAUUUUGUUCUUCCCAAUUCUUUGCUAGAAUGAUUUGAUCAAUCAUUCUCUUCUUGAUGUAGCAUUGUUCAUUAAGAUUAAGAAUUGCCUUUGAUCUUCUGAUUUUGACUUCAUCAUAUCUAUGGAUAUGAUAUGGCUGGAUUCUCCCUUGAGGGGUAUAGUAAAUGAGAUUUCGAGAGGAUAAACGAGCAUAUUUUUGAAGUUGAUUUUCCUCAUAAAGUCUUUUCCUAAUGGUUUUUAUCAUUUCUUGCUUCAUUUCCCUGUAAAAAUUCUCUUGUUAAAAAAUCAGGAAGAGAAUUAUUUUCUCCUUUUAUAAAUUCUAUUUCAAAAUCGAAGACUGAUAAAAUAGCUUGCCAUCUAGCAAAAAUUUGUUUUGAAACUAUAUUUUGAACAUUCUUUUGUAAAACUUCUUUUACUGAUUCACAAUCUAUUCUUAAUAAAAACUUUUUGUUAUACAAAUCAUCUUGGAAUUUUGAUAUGCAUAAUACUAUGGACAAAAUUUCCUUUUUAAUAGUAGAAUAAUUUUUUUGAGGUCCUAACCAUGUUCAAAUCUAACUAAUUCUUCUUUCAAGUUUUCUAAUUUUUGAUUUAAUAUUCCUCCAUAUCCUAAUUUUGAUGCAUCUGUUUCGACUAUCAUAAAAGCUUUAGGAUGAGGAAGACUUAGGCAUGGUAAGGUUUGAAUUCUUUCUUUAAGAUAUCUAAUUUUUUGGGUAUGAUCUUCUUUCCAUGGUUUAGGAUUCUUUUUUAACCUAUUAAACAAUAUCGAACAUUCUUGUCUUAGUUCGGGGAAAAAAUCAACACUAUAAUUUAAACAUCCUAAAAAUCUUUGUAAUUGAUUUUUAUCUUUAAUUUCAUUGGAAACUUAUCUGCAAAUUCUAAUGCCCUAUUUAUAGGUUUUAUGGUUCUUUAUUAAUGUCAUGUCCUAGAAAUCUUAUUUGAGUUUGAAAUAAUUUUAAUUUUGAUGCUAAAACUACUAAUCCAUUUUUCUUAACUACCUUUAAAAAUAUAUUUAAAUGUUUAAAAUGUUGUUCUAAUGAUUCAGAAAAUAUUAAUACGCCAUCUAUAUAUACUAUGCUAAAUGAACUAUAUGAAUUAAAUAUAUCAUUCAUUAUGUUCUGGAAUUCUGAGGGGGCAUUUUUUAGUCCAAAAGGCAUAACUUUCCAUUCAUAAUGUCCAAAAGGUGUUGUAAAUGCUGUUUUAUACCUGUCUUCUGGUGCUAUUAUUAUUUGCCAAUAUCUUGAUUUUAGAUCAAUUUUGAGAAUAUCUUAGCAUUAAAUAAUCUACUUAAUAAAUCUUUUUUAUUGGGAAUUGGAUAUCUUAUCCAUUGUAAAACUUUAUUUAAUGGUUUAUAAUUAAUUACUAAUCUUGGAACUCCUCUUUCUUUUUUAACUUGAUUCAUCACAUAAAAAGCUGCACAACUCCAGGGUGAUUUUGAUGGUGUUAUUAAUUCUUUAUCCAUUAGAGCUUGUAUUUCCUUUUUGCAAAAUUCUAAUAAUUCAGAACUCAUUUGUAUUGGUCUAGCCUUAGUUGGAAUAUCCUUUUCAUUAAAAUCUUUUUCAUAAGUUAGAUUAAUCAUAUGUUGUUUUCUAUUCCAGAAUGCAUUGGAUAUAUCAGCGCAUACUUCCUUUUUUAUUAAUUCUUCUAAUUUUGUAAUUCUAGUUUUCAUGUUUACUUCUUUUAAUUGUUCUUCUAUUCUUAAAUAAGAUUUUUCUUCUUUAAUAAAAUUUAUGCUUUGCUUAACAUGUUGAAUAGUAUUUAUUGUUUUAUACAUAAAGGAUGAUGGCAAUAUUUGUAAUUCUUUUUGUUUGAUUGGUGUUAAAAAUUUAAAUGUAAUGGUCUUACCCAUAAUAUUUGUAGAAACUCCAUCAUAAUUUACAGUGAAGGGAUAUAUUUGAAUUAAAAAGGGUGUUCCUAAUAUCAUGCCAUUAUUUAUGUUUUUAACUAUUAAAAAAUUAUGUUUUAAACAAUAAUUAUAAUUGCAUAUUGAUCCUUUAGUAAAUUUGUAUUUUACUUGCAAUUUUUCUCCAUUUGCUGCCAAUAAUUCUUCCUUAGUUCUUUCACAAUAUUUAGUUGGAAUUAGUCCUUCUUUUAUACAGCUUGAAUCUGCUCCACUAUCGAAUAGGGCUACAUAUGUUUCUUUGAAUUCUUCUACCAUUACUUUUACUAAAGCAUACCAUUUUUGAAAUGUCAUUUUUUCUAUUAUGUUUAAAUAUUGUUUUUCGUCUAUUGGCUUUUCAGAAAUUAUUAUUUCAUUUGUUUUUGAGGUAGACGGUUCAUCUAUAUUUUGUUUAUUAUUUAUUAGUGACAUUUUUGCUUCUAUUUCUAAAUCUUUGGUCUUUAAACUAAUUAUUUCUUGCUGUAAUUGUUUUACUUGUACCUUUAGACUAUUAAUUUCUGUUUGAAGGUCUUUAGUAGUUUCCUUUCUUAUAUUAUUUAUAUUAGAAUAUUUAUCUAUUAAUUUUGAAAUACUAAAUGAUUCGAUGAUUUUUGGCAUUUUAUCUUCUUGUAUUAUUAAACUUUUUAGUCUUUCUAAAUAUUCUUUCUUAGCUAUAGGAUCAUCUAUUUUAUCAAUUAUAUCUAAUAAAAAUUCUUUAUCUUCUUUUUUGGUAAUAAUAUUUAGGUAUUUUGGAUUAUUUAAACAAUUAUAUUCUUCUUGAUCUUCUGAACUACUUAUAUCAUUAUAAUAAUCAUCUUCUGUUUCUUGAUCUUUUUCAUUUAUUAAUAAACUAAUUAAUUUAUUUUUUAUAUCUUUUUCCUCUGGACAUAUUUCAUUUAGUUUCGCUUUUAGUCUACAUUUAUCUGCUUUAUGUCCUAUUUUCCCACAUUUCCAGCAAAUAAUUUUCUUUUUAUUAUAUUUUUUACUUUUCUUUUUCUCAUAAUAAGAUUCUUUAUUAGAUUUUUUAUAUUUUCUCCUUUUUAUUUUUCUUUCUAUAUGCUGAGGGGGAUUCUAUUUUCUUAAUUUCAAAAGCUUCGCAAAUUGAUCCUUCUUCUUUUAUUUUUGAACCAUACUUAAUUUGGAGUUUUAAUUCUGAACAUAAAAUUAGACCUUCUUUUUUAACAAAAGCAAAUAAUUGCCCAAAAGUAAUAUUUUCAAAUGAAAUAACUUCAGUUCCCAUUUCUUUUUGUAAAUUAUCCAUUAUUUUUUAUGAAAAUAAACUUGGUAAUGCUGUUAUAAAUUUUUCUUUCCAAAAUGAAGCAUUGCAGUCUGGUCUUCUUAAUACAUUAGUCAAAAAUAUAUCUUUAUACCAUCUAAAAUCUGACAACGUUGGACAUCUUAAAUUUGUUAAAAAGGUUUUGUUUGCAUUUAAUUCUUCCUUUGGAUUUCCUACAAAAUACAUUACUAUUGUUACAAUUAAAAAUUUUGCAGCAUCUGACUGUACUUGAAUAUUUCCUUGGUCAUCUUCUAUUUCUAUUGUAUGACCUAAUAUUGAUAAUUAUCGUGAAGAGUUAAGGCAUUAUCCCACCAAUUUUUUAAUUGUCCUGUAAAACCAGAAACUAAUAAGGUUGCAAUGUUUCUUUCUUAAAUACUUUUUAGCUUAUAUGCUAAUCUAGUCAUUCCCAUUUCUUGCAAAGUAUUUAAUACUUCGUAUUCUGCUCUUCCAUCUAUAUUCCAUUUGUAUAUUGAAUCUCCAUCAUAUUUUGUAGUAUGAAAUUUCGAUCUUUCUUCAUAUUGUAUAUCAGGGGGGUUGGGUCUAGGAUAAUAAUUUCUUGUGCUUACUAGUUGCCAAUCUUUUCUGUUUUUAAAAUUUUUUCUUCGUUUUAUUCUAUUUAUUUGAUUACCUUCUUUUUCAUUAAUUGUUUUUCUAUAGAAGUAACUAUAUCUGUUUCUUCUUCUGAAUAACUUGAUUCUUCUUAUGUAUUUUUUUUAAUCAAAACUAAGAUUUUAUUGGCAAAACAACAACGUACAUAAAGCAUCAGACAUCAUCUAGGUCCAGAACUAGCCAAAGGAGAGCUACUACCCUAUAGACUGCCACCGCAGGGAAGUGAAUUCCCGAUUGUCUAAGACUACUGAUGCUCGCACUAGAUUCGGGAGUUGUUGAAACGAAGUGCAGAAUAACUCUGAUGAUAAUCGCAAUCCCGCGAGUUCAUCUGCUGAAGAGUUCGCCUCCCUGAAAACGUGUGUUACAGAAGCCGAAAAUGAGAAAAGCAGCGCUCUUAUGUGUCGCAACGUAUUGCAAAGGGACCACCGAGAUGUCGCUCCCGCAUUAAUUAGACUGACCAGGCUUUUAGAGUCUACCUCCACCAGCAGGGGUCCCCUAACUAGAUCCUUACACAGGUGAAAACCAUGUAGCAAAGAUGAACUCUCUACCCUCAAGACAUCUGUGAGAACCCGACAUUUUCUAAUUUUCUAGGCUUUAUUUUAUUUAAUUGCAUGCCUUUUCUACAUUUUUGUUAUUAGGAAAUUUUCUAGAUAAAUUUUAUGAGUAAAUAUAGUUUUUAAAUUAUUUUUCUAGUAUCCGUUAGUUUUUGAGAAAUUAAGAGUGAAUACCGAAUGUGAGACCCGCUAGUGCAGUAAGUGCGGUAAAAUUCGGUCAAUUAGGUUAAGUUUUGUAUAUCGGGAGUAAUUUACUAGGUGCUAAGAGAUAAUUAGAGGUUUCCUAGAUGGAUUAGUAUAGGAGAGACAAAAAGAUAAUUAUCAACCAAAAAGGUGAUAAGUGUCACCUUGUGAUUUAAUCUUGCACUUUGACCACUAUUCAUGCACUUUACUAAUAUCCCAAAAUUGAUAAAAAAUCUUCAUUUUCUUCACUCUUGUGGCCGACUCUCUCAAGAAGGAAAAGAAAGGAAACCUUCAACUCUCUUGCUCUCAAUCUUGCUCAAUAUUCCAAUUCAACCGAUCAAACUUGAAAUUACUCCAUAAAACCCCCUUAACUAAGUAGUAUUGAGGUAGUUAGUGGAUUGGAAAGGAGAAGUGCUAAGUUGUCUCUUUCCUUGAGUUGGUAAGGUGAGUAGCUAAGGAAUGCUUUCUUUGGUCUUGUUAAUGUUGAAUUAGUGAUUUGUGUUAGUUAAAGAGGUGAUUUUGUGGGUUAUUUCAUGACUUUUAGUAGCGAUUGAUGAAUUUUUAUUUUUAUUCAUAAUUUUUCUAUUUUUAUAUGUUUAAUCUUAGUUGGCCAUGGAUGAUGGCUUGGUAUGGUUUAGAAUGAACUUAUGGAGUGUUAAUUGUAGCUAUUUGCGAAAAUUUUCAGUUUUGUGCGAAAAUUUCAGCUUUAGGGUUCCGAUUUUCCCUGUUCUGUCCGGCUUUAUUUGAGCAUGUUAGAGGCCGAAUUAGGCUUAGAAUAAAACAUAAAAGUUGUAGAAAAUGAUGUUAACUAGCUGCUUGCAAAAUUUCAGCUCAAUCGGAGCAGGGUAUCUUGUGAAAUGACAAAAUUGCCCCUGCUGCCCUGUUUCUGUCAAAAAUGAUGAUCAGCCUCUGUAAGUGGUUAGUUUGACCAGGAAUAUAACCGAAUUGGUUGUCAAUGUCUUCUUAAGAAUUAUAGACUUGUAUCUUAUCUUUCAGAUGGCUUUGGAAUUACCUAAAUCGGAGUUGUGUGUGCUGAGAUAUGAUUGAAUGAAUCAGGACUGCUAGUUGAAUUUCACAAUGAGCUUCGAACUGGAAAAUCUGGGGUUGUUUUGAUAAAUUUGACCUAGUUAGGGUGAGAACUGGACUAAGUAGUCUUCAUCAAAGUUAUAACCCUCUGUCUUAGCUUUGAAACGGUAUAACUUGCACUUCAAUCCAAUAAGUGUAGUUUCGGUUAUGUCCGAUAUGCUAAGUAGCAGUGAAUCUGCCUUUUUGGUUUCUUAGCUUAAAGCUCAUUUGCGGUCAUUUUCCUAGCUAAAUCUUGUACUUGAAUGACUUUGAGCCUAUUGAAUGGCUGUUGUAGUGAAUUUAUAUUGUGUACGACUUAGGGAUUGAUUGAGGAAAAUAAUGAAGCCAUAAAUGGCUGGAAAAUAGGUAAAUACAAAGGGCGUGCUGCCCAAAUUUACACUCGAGAAUUAGGUAACGAUUUGAGAGCGAAUACCAUAUGAACCAUCUAGGAUAUUUGUGCCCUCUUUUAUCAAGGUAUAUAAGUUCGAAUCAGACCGAAACUUGUACACUUGAAAAAAUAAAAUUUACGACUAAUAGAAAUACGUUUUCUUCAUUUCUUCGACUCAAAUGGAUAUUUCAAAGUUUUAGGAGCGAGCAUAAGUUUUCCAAAUAUUUUACUCAUGUCCUUUGGUUUAAAUGUACUCUUUUCACUUUCAAAAUCAUAUUUAUACUUUAUACUAGUAGUAUUUGAAUUGUCUUCGAUUCACCUAACUUUUGCUGGAGGAACUGUAAUAUUUUCUCCUGAUUAAUCUUAGGGUUCAUCGAUGAUUGAGAAUGUUACCCGGAAAGAUAUUCUGGACGUUAUUUUGCCUUCAUAGGUGAGUGUACCACUCCCCUGAAUUGUUGUUUACUCGGUUCAUCUAUACUUGAAAUGUGUGACAUGGAUAACUAUGAACUGUGUUAUUCUGAAUGAGACGAGGGUGUACUUUAUCACACUCGUUCUCUUGCCUGUACUGAAUGAACUGGAAUCUAUUACUUGUUAUUUGUACUUGUUAUGUACUUGAAUUUGUUACUUGCACUUGUUAUGAGAUCGUUUGGAAGUGUGUCCAAUGAUCUUCCUGUUAAACUUGAGCUCAACCUCAUGGGGAGUUAAUUAAAUCGAGCCAGCAAGGGCUUGGUCGAGGUAAUUGACAAUCCAUGGGUACCUGUUCCUGGGGAAUCUUUGGGUAUUGAGACUCUUGAUUCCGGUAUACUCGAGUAUUACCAUUACUGUUCCUGUUCGAUGUUCGGGUCCGGUAAGGGGUAUGUUUGGUGAACGGGAUUUUGGCGUAAGAGGGAUCUACGGACACGAGUGUGUUAUUAAACGUUGACGGAGAGUUAACGAGACUGGAUCAAGUAUUGCAACGGGGAUUUGGCUCCUGAGGGCCACCUAUAUCCUUUAAAUUGUGGUGUUCGUUUAUUUCUCUUACUUGAUGUGUAUAUGUGCCCUAAAAGUGUUUUCUCAUGAUUUCCACUGUUAUACUUUUGGUACCUCAUUAAGCUUCUAGUUCACCCCGUUCCAUUAUCCUUGUUUUCCUUACAGGGAACCACUUUUGAAACUGUGAUUUUGAAGCAUGAAUCGAGCUAGUUUAGAUAUUUUGUAUAGCUCCUCAAUGGUUGGAAACCCUAAUUGCACUUGGAUUCUAAUGUUCCCUUUUGAUUUGUAAAAAAAUGAAUGUGGUUUAGAUAAGCGUGUAUUCAUGUUCAUGUGUUAUAUUUGGUUUGUAUAAGUCCAUUUCAAGGAUUAUAUGAAGUUACUUGUAUUCGAUUGGGUCCUGGUCGGAUUGUGACGUGGCCGGCGCUAUUCACUUUCCGUUUCGAUUUUCGUUUUUUUGUUUCGUAAUUUUUGCUUCGUUUGAGCGCGCUAAUACCUUCCGGAACAUUUUAGACUGUACGUAACCGUGCUAGUAGUCCUGGCGAGAGUUGGGCAGACAGUCCGCUAACCCCUUUGGUACGCCUUAGGGGAAGGUGGGGCUGUCACAACAUCCAUCUCCCCAAAUUCCUUGUAAAAAGCAAAGAUUAAGCGGCCUUCAGAGUCUCGGAGUAAACCACCCCCAAAAGCUCGCUUGUGAAAGACACUAGCGUCCAUAUUCAACUUGACAUGAUGCGCCGGAGGGCGUUUCCAAGACACUGCAUGUGCGUGUUUCCUCCUCGCCAAUCGGGUGCUCAACCGUGCCCAAGGGUCUCUCGCAUCUCCCCUAAAAUGGUCCGCAGAGAGUAUCUUUGCCACUCCCAGCUAUUGCACAAAUCCGUCAACCAAAGCAAUAACCCUACAAGCCGCAAACGUCGCCCCCUCGAAGAGCGCCUUGUUCAUGGACUUCCAUAGGAACCACAGAAUUACUAGCGGGACCACAGUCCUUAUGUGGUCCCGUGUAACCAGUGAAGUUGAGCUAAACCAAGACAAAACCAUCCCAGACACCGAAGAGGAGUGGGAAUCAAUAAUUCCAAACCUCUGUCGAAAAGCGCUCCAUACCUCUAUUGCUAUUGGGCCUGUCAUGAAGAGGUGAACAAGUGAUUCUUUCGGCGAGUGGCAACAUAAGCAACAUGAUGCCAUGGGGACUCCCCGACACUUCAGGGUCGCAUCCAGGGGAACCAGAUUACGCAUCACCUUCCAUGCAAAGAAAGACAGCUUCAAUGGCACUAAGCUGGUCCAAGUGAAAUCGUCCACUAGUGAGGUGUUGCAUUUCAAUCGAAUGCUCUCCCGAGCAGCCUUGGUUGAGAACUCCCCCGAGGCGAGCGCACCUAAACCAUACGAUCGUGUUGUUCUGGGAACACUUGAAUUUUCUGAAUCUGACUAACCAGAUAAGCAGGCACCCAGUGCCUCAGCUUCUCUAUAUUACAGCCCCUGUCAUCAAAGAACUCCGCGAGCAGCAUGUGGGGUGGGUCAUUAAUGGAGAGCAAGUCCACCAGAAGGACCUCAAAGACUUUUUCCACACACCAUCUGAUGUUACUCUCUGCUGCCCUUCGAAUUCCCUCCAACCGCCUCCAUGAAGGGGAAGGUCUAGCUACCUGAGCUUGGAACGGGUGUGUACCCCUAACAUAUUUGGCGUGCAUAAAAGCAGCCCAUAAUGAAUCGUUUUUCUGCAACCGCCACUAGAGCUUGCAAACAAAGGUUGAGCACAUGUCCUCCUAGGAGCGAAAACCCAACCCGCCUUCAGCCAUUGGAUAGCAGACCUUUUCCCAAGACGUCCAAUGAAUGCCUUUGGAGUCAGUAUUUUUAUCCCAUAAAAAGGCCUUACAUACCUUUUCCAGCUUUAGCAAAACUGCCCGGGGAGGAUCCAACACUUGCAGCAAGUACAUAGCCAUUGAGGUAAGAACAUGCCUCAGUAACACUAAUUUACCUCCUGACGAUAGUAACCGUGAGCUCCAGUGGAACAGGCGGCCUUGCAUUCUAGCCACCAGGGAAUCAAAUAGAAUGCACGUCGUUCUGCCUUUGAAAAUGGGGACCCCCAAAUACGUGAACGAAAGGUACUGCUGAUGGAACUGCAACAUCGAGGCCACCCUUGCCCCAUGUUCAGCGGACGCUCGAGCCGACAAGAUGAAACAGUUUUUAUGGGUAUUAAUUUUCUGAUCCCAAAAAGCCUGGUAGGAGUCGAAGAACAACUUCGAGGAGGCCAACCCACCCUCGGAGCAGCAAGUGAAGAUCAAGAUGUCAUCCGCAAAUGCCAAGUAAGGGAUACGCAGCCCAGAGAAGACAAAGAAACGACUCUCAUCUUGACAAAAUAAAUGAUGCAGUCCUCGGCCCAAGAAUUCUGCCACCAGUAGAAAUAAAGCCGGGGAGAGCGGGUCGCCUUGGCGAACCCCUCUUGAGGAUUUAAAGAAUCCCACUGGAGAGCCAUUGAUUACACCGAGAACCAAUUUUUUGACAAUUUUCAGAAGAGCAGAUCCACCACCCACUCGUGAAACCCAAAUUUUCAGAGCAUAAAGAUAAGAAAGCUCCAUUCAACCCUGUCAGACGCCUUCUCCAUAUCCAGCUUCAGUAUCAAGUUCAGGCAUCAUAACUUCCUAUCAAUAUCCAUUGCCAGUUCCUGUGCUACGAGGAUGUUGUCUGCAAUACCCCUGGCCGCAACAAAACCUGCCUACCAUGGCAAGAUCAGUUUAGGAAGCAUAUGAUUGAGUCGGUUCGUUAGAACUUUGGAAAUAAUUUUGGAGCUUAGGUUACACAGGCUGAUAGGUAUAAACUCUUGCCAUUUAGUCACUCCCGGUACCUUUGGGAUUAGCACAAUCAGUGCACUGGAGAAGCCUCUUGGUUUAGGAGCCCCUUUGAAGAAGUCGUGAACCGCCUCCAGUAGCUCAUUUUGAAUAACUGGCCAACAGGCUUGGUAGAAGCCUGCGCCAAAGCCGUCCGGUCCCGGUGCACUAUCUUUUGACAUCGAGAACACCACCUCUUUUACUUCCUGUAGCGUUGGCAACUGUUGGAGCUUCAUAUUGUCCUCACAAGUCAGGGAGGGGAGCGAGAAUUCCAAGCUUGGAGCAGCCCAGCCCUCCCGUUCCGUCCGGAACAACUUCGCAUAGAACUGCUCUGCCGAAGCUUUGAUCUCCUCCUCGUCCUCUAGCCAACAGCCCGCAUCAUCCUUGAUCCUUGAUAUAAAAUUAACACUUCGCCACUACUUAACGAACGAGUGAAAGAAUUUUGUAUUGGCUUCGCCCUACUGAAUCCAUUUAAGUGCCGAUUUUUGCUUCCAGUACUCACACUCUACGCCUAAUGCCUGUGCAUACCUUGCCCGAGCCUCCCCCAGGUUCAACCUAGAUAAGUCAUCACGAGCCGCGUCAAACUCCUCCUGCCGCUGUCGUAAGUUUUCCUCAGCAUCUUGCCCGAGCCUCCUGCCCUAGGUUCUUAUGUUGAUUCUUCAUUUAUAAUUACUUCAUCUAAAGUAUUUAUUCUAGGAGUACUUAUUGUUAGUGAUUGUAAAGUUUGAGAUAUUCUACCUAAAAUUGUAUCUGUUGAAUUAACAUUUUGUACUAAUUCUUGUUCUCUUUCUCUUGGAAGGCUUCUUGGUAGAAAAUGAGGAGCUGAAAUAUCAUUUGGGAGUCUAGAAGUUGGUCUUUGUAUACUAUCAAUUUUUGUAGUUACUAUUUCUAUAUGUUGUGAUAUUGUAUGAAGUAUUUGAUUUGCAUAGUUAUUCUGUUGAUAUAAUUUUUUAAUAUCUUCUAUACUUACAUUAUUAUUAGUACUUGUUUUAGCUUCUCUUCCUUUUUAAAAAGGUGAUGCUGUUAUUUCUCCUUGUCCUAUGUUUAUUUUAAUUUCUUGUAACGGAGGAUGUAUUGAUGUAACUAUUUGAUCAUCUUUUAAUUUCCGUUUUUAUGUAAAUUUGUUUGUACAUUUAUUUGAGGUGUAUUAUAUACAUCAUUUAUUCCUAUUUUUGAAAUAUAGAAUGAUAGCCAAGUAAAGAAGGGAAAAUCAAAUUUUCUUAUUUCUAAUUCCUUUUUCCAUUCUAUUAUUAAUUUUUCUUUACAAUCGGGUAAUAAUUGAAAAAGGAAAAAUCGUUCAAAACGUCCCUCACAUUUUGUAAAAUGACUUUUUUCGUCCCUCACUUUUAAAAAUAUACUUUUACAUCCCUUACAAAUUCACAUUAAUCAAAUUUGAUCCUUAUCUAGGUUUCUGACUAGUUUUUUGUCGGAAUCCACCACGUGCCUUGCACGUGACCAUUUUUGAAGAGUAAAAUUGUUACAUCAAAAUUUACAUCAUCCAAUCCAUAGUCUCUCACAUUUCACAAAAUGAAUUUUUUCGUCCCUCAUUAUUCAUGUGUAUGAAUAAAUUUUUUUUAAACUAAUGUAUAUAUCGAUUUGAUCUCACAUAAAUAAUACGAAUAGCAUGUAAUACAUUUCUAUUUGAUUUCUCUUGAACGUACUGUUCAUGUGAAAUUAAAAUAGAUAUAUACAGGGGUUUAAAAAAAAUUAUUAGUUUUUCACUCAUGUUCAUUUCUUUUACUUGAAAAUUGAAAAAAAAAAGAAGACAUUUAAUUCUAAACAUUAUCAAGUGUUUAUAUCGAAUUAAAUUUAGACAGAAAAAAAAAUAAAUAAAGGAAAAGUAUGACAAAAAGAAGUAAGUAAUUGACACUUUCAAAUUUUAAAAUAAUCAUAAGGCAAGAAAUUCAACUGUUGGUUUUAAAAAUAGCGAAUAAAAAUUUCAAAUUUAAACUGCAAUUUGUAGCAUGACUAUAGAAUUCGAAUUAACACCUAUUAAUUAGAUACUCUUAUUAAAAAACUCAAUAAAUGAAUUAUUACUAAAAUAGAAAAGACUACAGAUAUUGAAUAGAUUCAUAUGGUGAAGUCACAUAUAUAUAGGUUUAAAAAAAAUUAUUAGAUUUAAACCCAUGUAUAUAUCGAUCUGUUUAGGUGAAAUCAAAUAGAGAUAUAUUACAUAUUAUUUGUACUGUUUAGAUGAAAUCAAAUAGAUAUAUACAUGAAUUAAAAAAACAUUCGUAAACGUGGUCAAUGAGAGAUAAAAAAAUUUAUUUUGUGAAAUGUGAGGGAUGAAACAAUUCAUUCUGUGAAAUGUAAGGGACUAUAGAUGGAUUAUGUAAAUUUUGAUUUGACAAUUUUGCCCCUAAUAAAUAAUCACAUGCAAGGCAUGUGAUGAAUUCCGGCCAAAAACUAGUCAGAAACCUAGAUAGGGACAAAAUUUGACCAAUGUAAAUUUGUAAGGGACGUAAAAGUACACUUUUAAAAGUAAGGGAUGAAAAAAGUCAUUUUACAAAAUGUGAGGGACGUUUUGAAUGAUUUUCCCAUUGAAAAAACCAAAUUCUUUUUUCUAUAUUUUCUUCAUCAUCAAAAUCUUCCUGUAAAUAUUUAUAAUUUAUUUGAAAAUUACCUUUAUUUAUUACAUUUAUUUCUGCUUUCAUCUGUGAAUGUGUUUGUGAAUAUUUAGAUUGAUUUUCAUUUAUUACCUCUGGAACUGGGGUUUUAAACUUGAAGGUUGAAUUUGUUUCUAUGGGAGAACUAAAGCCAAUAGACUCAUAACUAGAUCUUUUGGCUGGUAACUAGGAAUGGCUUGAGGUUAACUGUCUUUCUCUGAAAGAGGGAAAUUUUAAUAAAAUUUUUUGCAUCAUGGUCUUCUAUCAUUUCUUCUACUUCUGUUCUUUCUAAAUUUCUGGGACUUGUGGAUUUUGUAUUUGAAAUUCAAUAGGUACUGUAUUUCGUUCCAUUUUAAUCUCUUUGGUGUGUAUAUAGUUGGUCUAUCUGCUUCUACUUGCAAUAUAGUGGUUUCAUCUUUUAAAGUUGGAGUCAUUAUAAAUUUUGGAUUUAAUUGUGAAGACAAUGGUCUAUAAUACAUUCUAUAAAUUACAGCAAAAUUUUUUGUAUGUCUUUCAAAUUCAUCUCCUUGUAAAUGAAUAUCUAAAACUAUAGAAUUCAAAACAUGUGGAUCAGUUAUAUCUACUGAGAAAUCAGCGGUGCAAGUGAAAUAAAUUGGUCCAUUACAUACAUUUGUUUGAAUCAUAGCUAGUAAUGAAGUCUUAUAUCUUUUUAACCUCUUAUCUCUUAAUGCGAGAUAAAUUGGAGCAUCUACCCCUAAAUGAACUAAUGGUUUGACUGCUACUUGAAUUAAUCCAAAGUGAAUAUAUCUAUAACCUUUACUUAAAUAUUUUUGAAUAGUAGUAUGAUUCAACAAUGGAAUUGUUUGAAAUUCUUCUUGUAUAGAUAUGGUUUCUUCAUGUGUUUUAACAAAUAAAGCUGUUUUGAGAUCUAGAGUUCCUAUCCCAUAAAUAUGUUCUAUUUUUUCUUCAGGAAUAGUUCAAUCUGAAUUGUUUAUAGGCAUAUGAUAUUCAUGACUCUGUACUAUGUGUGAUUGUUUUGAACUAGAUCCUAUCUUUAAUUGUCUAAAGAAUGCAGCCAUGUUUAAUAUCAUUUAUCCUAAUGGGAACAAUCGAGCCUAUGCGUGGAAUAUCCUAUCCUGGACUUGCCAACCGUCUUACUAAGCUUCAAAAUCUUACCAACACUAAGAUAGACUUAUGAUAUUAAACAUGAAUGUAUUAUUUAAAAAUUAAAUAGUUGGAAACAGUUCAAAAUAACAACAGGGUACUUAAGGGCUUAUUUAUUCAUAAAUUAUAUUUUCUAUCUAUUCUCAUCUAGGAUAAUUUGUACAUUUUGUAAUUAAUCAAAAAUCUGGUCCACAUUGAAUAAACCAAGACAAGAUUAUGGAAUUUUUAAACUUCCAUUUUCUAUAAAUUGGAGAAUGUUAACUAUUACAUGGUCUAUGGUUAAUUUUUCGAAACUAGUUUAGUAUUGUGACAAAUCCAUGUUGAACAUUUAGCUGAUUUGAGCCCUAUGUAAAAAAGAAAACCUAGUAUUAUUUAUUUUGUUCAUCUUACAAAAGAAAGUUUUCUUUUUGAAUUAUUGGUAAAAAGAGAAUUCCUAAUGAAAGGCUUUUAUGAGGUCUAAUAUUUGUAAUUAACAUUUAAAUUGAAAGGGAUUUAUUGUUCUAACUAUAUGGGAAAGACAUCUAUAGUUCAAGUAUUUAAAACCAAUCAUUUGAUCUGUUUUUGAUGAACUAAUUUUUUACCGAAAAAGAAACUAAUUUUUUUCAAAAGGGAAUGAUAUGCUAUCUUUAAAAUUGAAUCAAUAAAAUAGUAGCUAACUAAAAACUGGAAAAAAAAUAGAAAAAAAAACAAUUCAUGUUUUUUUCAAACAUUUUCUACGUAAAGUGUAUUUUGAUCGAUACCUUUAUUUGGUAUUCUUUCUUAUUUAAUUCUAUAUCUUGUUCCAUAAAAGAGUAGUUUUGACAUUAAGAUUACUAUUGGUACGCUAGGAACAAAUGUUUUUGCUUUUGUGUGGGGCAACGGCUAUAAUUCUAAGGGUGUGUCAUUAAGUUCAUGCAAUUUAGAGAAAAAAAAAUCCUUAUUGAAAAGAAAAUCAAAGAGAAGUUAUAGGAGUUUUUUAUGGAUCUAAACAACAUAACAAAAUAUUACUUCCAUAGUGAGGGCUUUUUGGCGCACAAAAAACAAUGGGUCAUCUACAUGAAUUUUUUAGGGGUAUUUUUAUUAAACUUAAACUACAUAUGGGUGUUUUAAUAAGACCUUUGAUGUGGUAUUUUUAGAGUUUGUAAUGUGUUUUUUAAGGGUAUUUUUGAAGAUAGCAGAAAUAAUUACUCUGUGCUGCUGCAACCACCAAUAUGUAUCCCUCAAUAAAGAUAACGGUCUAUAUCUUAAAAAUUUUAAAUUGUUACAAUCAAAUGGUCAGAACUACUUAUUUCACACCAUUCAAUGAUGGAUUUAAUAUGAUAUGCAAAAGACUCUACAGUUUAGCCAUGCCUAAAAUACAUAACUUGUAUGGUCGUUACGACAAACUCGAAAUUGGUAUUGGAAUUUCUACAAUUACUUAAAUGCACUCUAUUAAAUACUUUUAUCAUAUGAAAACACAAAUUAGAAAUCCAUACCAUUUUGUUUUCGUGAUGCUUAACAAUAUUAAAGAAACUAUUUAGGUGUUUGAAAGGUUGGUCUAUAGAGCUUGAAAAUAUCAAUACGUCAUUGAUAUAAACAAUUAUGAAUGUGCUAUAAGGGUUGAAUAUAUCAUUCAUAAUAUUUUGAAAUUUCGAUGGAGCAUUUUUUAGACCAAACAGCAUUACUUUCAACUCAUAAUGCCUAAAGGGUGAUGUAAAUGCUGUUUUGUAUCUAUCUUCUUCUGCUAUAAUGAUUUGCCAAAAUCCAAAUUUCAUGUCAAAUUUUAAAAAUAUUUUUGCAUUAUAUAAUCUAUUAAGAAGAUCUGUUUUAUUUGGAAUAGGAUACCUUAUCCAUUGCAAUAUCUUAUUAAGUAGUUUAUAAUUAUUACUAAUCUUGGAAGACCUUUUUUUUCAGCUUGAUUCAUAGCAUAAAAGGUAGCACAACUCCAUGGAGAUUUUGAUGGUCUUAUUAAUUUCUUUUCUAAUAAAGUUUGAAUAUCUUCAUUACAGAAUUCUAGAAAUUCAUGAUUCAUUUGUAUUGAUCAGGCUUUUGUUGGAAUAUUUUUCUGUGAGAAAUCUUUUGCAUAUGGCAGGUUAACCAUAUACCUAUUUCUCUCCCAAAAUGCAUUUGGUAAAUCUUAACAUACUUCACUUUUAAUAAGAUUUUCUAAAUCUAUUUUUUUUAAAAGAACUAUUUUUAAGCUGUUUCUCAAUUUGUAAAUAGGAUUUUUCUUCCUUUAAGAAACUAAUUUGUUUUAUUGUUUGUUACAUAAGAUUAAUUUGCUUAUAGAUCGAAGAAGAUUGUAAUAAAGAAAGUUCCUUUUGUUUUACUGGUGGUAAGAAAUUUGAAAGAAAAUUGUUCUACCCAUUAUAUUAGUAUUAAUUCCUUCUGAAUCUACUGAGAAAGGAUAUAUUUGAAUUAAAAAUGGAGUUCCUAAUAUAAUAUCUUGAUAAAUAUUACUAACUACUAUGAAUGAAUGUCUAAAACAGUAUUCAUCAUUACAAAUUACAACUUUUGACAGCUUAUAAUUAAUUUGGAGAGGUUCUCCAUUUGCGGCUAAUAAUUGUUCAUUAGUCCUCUGAAAAUGCCAUGAUUAAAUUGCUCUACUAUUAUAGUUACUAUAACAUACCAUUUUUGAAAAUCUAUUUCUCUAAUAUUUAUAAAUAUUGCUGAUUUGAUUGUUCUUUAUAGAAGAGAAAAGAGCUGAAAGUUGAAACCUGGAAGAUGAAAGGUUUUUUCUCACCUUUUGCUUAGGGUUGUGGAACCAAAUCAGGAUCUCCUCAAACCUGAUGAAGAUACAAAUAGGAAGGCCAAUGCUGAGAAGGAAGACGAAAGGUAAGAAACAGACUAUAACGGCUGGCAAAUGGAGGCAACAGAAUAAGGAAUUAGAGUAAGACGCUCUUUAAGUUUUAGUCUAUAAAUGCCCUCGAAUGUUACAAAACUGUCAACAUACCUAGAAAUGUUUCAUAGUCUAUAAAUGUUGUCCAUAAAUUUAACUUUAAACUUGUAAGUAUGCACUGAAUUAUAUAUUAUUUUGAUUAUCUAUUAUUAAAUAAGCAUUUAUGACGUCAUUCAAUUGAAUCCAGCAAACCAUUGAUCCUUGACCCCUAAGUUCGACCAAAUCGCAACUAGGUCCAAAUUCAAAAUAUAGCGUGCAACAACGUCCAGUUUAUCCCAUUCCCAUACAACUUCAAUAAUUUCGAGUAUUUGCUGUAUGGAAAAUAUUAACUGGCAUCACAAUCUGUAACUUGGGAACUUAGGUGGUCAUUGGUUUUUUGUUAGGUAAAUUAUGAAGUAAAACAAUUUGACAUCUGUUUGUAUAGGUGUAGUUCUAUGACCAUUCAAAAACAGAAUUACAAAAACAAAAAAGAAAAUCAAUAGAGCAUGGAUUACUUUUCCAUUUUUUCUUAUCUUUUUAAAACAUGAUUUGAAUAUAUAAAACAAUAGAUUCUUGAAUGAAAUUCCCAUAGUGUACUGUCCUCAAAUCCAGUUUGAAGAGGCAAGCAUGCAAUAUGUACUUUUGAACCCUACAAGACGAACAUGCCAACAACUAAUUAUACAAGUAUGAGCAAAUUAGUAAUGGAUUGAAAGGUAACUGCUAGACUGGUAGCAGUGAGAAUGGUUGUUGAAAAGUGAAAAUGUCAGAUAAAGCACUAACUAAUUUAAGCUGAGCCCUUCUAGGCUAAGCAAACUGAGGCUACAAAUACCACGAUACUCGAAAGUAAACCUCAAAUACUUAUCAAUGUUGUUGUAGAAAAGGCCACUGUGAAAGAAUGCGACCACCACCUCCAGGGCCAGGCUUUCUUGGUGGUUUGUGCAAUUGCAUAGCAUCUUGGUUAGUGGUGACUACACUGCAUUCAGACGUGGGAAAUGAGUAUAUUUGUUACAACACUUCUUGGUGAUGUCAAAGUUAAUGCAUUACAUUCAUUCUUGUAUGGCUGAACAUUGACAUUUACUCUUAAAUCUCAAUGGUCUUGAUUCUUGAAUGUGCUUCUAAUCUCGUUGUUGUAAAGGAUUCAUUGGUCAGUUUGCUAUUAUCAAUAUCUUCUUAAUUUUUAUUGGUUGGGUUCCAAAAUUUCAUAUAUUACCACCUAAUAUGUGUCUCGUGUACAUCUUGCAACUUGAAAUUGCAGUUUAAGUAUCUUGUGCUGCUGCUGGUAGCUACAAGACUGCUUUGGUGGUCCAAUGCGGCCGCCUGGACCAAUCGGACCGCCUCGGCCUUGAUUAUAAGCUGCUUCUUCAACCUUGCUGAUGCCUCCUGCGUUUACAUGAUUUAUAAUCUACCAGGAAUACCUAAUCAUGUUGUUCUACUGUUUUGAGUGAUAAUGGGGCAACAAUCUUACUUUUGUUAUUAUUAUUAUUACUACUUAGAAAAAAUCAUGAACCUUCUUUAUUACAUUCUCUUCCAUUUCGUUUUUUCACUUAAUGGUAGUAACGUAGCAUAUAUCAAUCUUUCGACUCAUUUGAAUGUCUCGUUAAAAACGGUCUCGUUAAAAACUAAUGUUUGGGUGGAUUUCUUAAACAAUAUGACAUUAAAAAACAUCCCUUUUCCUUAGGCUAUUAAAGAUCAUGAAAAUCUGUAUCGUUCAUAUCAAUCUUAGGGAUAUAAAAGAUACUACUGAUCUAAAAAUUCUUUAUUACGUAUAUGCAUACAAAAUAAGAGGAAUUUGUAACCCCCUUCCAAAUGGAGACAGUCGUAAACUAGCACAAAGCAAAACCACUAAAAUGUUUUUCAAUUUCCCUACAAAAUUUUCUACAAAUUUUAUAACAAAGUAUAGUAAAAUUUUAUAUAAAUACUCAAAAAACACGUCAUCCAAACAGACUAAUUUUCUUUUAUCAUACCCAUCUAAAUGAGAGGGGGAUGGCAGGGGGGAUUGGGUGGGACUAUCUGAAUGACGGUACAACGGUACUGACAGACUUGAGACUUCAAUUCACUAGUCCCAAAGUACCAUAAUGUAGACAAACUAAAACUACAUGAUUUUUCAAGAUUUGCUUAGCAAAUAUUACUAAAUUAAAGCAUCUGCCAAAAAUGUGAACUUAAAAUAAAGCAUGUCUUUAUUGUAUCUUUGAUUUUUCCAUGAGAAGGGAAUGGUAAACAUCAAACAGGCAUGACACAUUUCAGUCAAUCAGAGAUCAAGAAGGCAAGGUCAAGAUUAGAAUCUACUGGAUAGUAUUAUAAUAAUAAUAAUAAUAAUAAUAAUAAUAAAUAAUAAUCAGCUGGAACUGAUUUGCAAACUGAGCAACUAGGAAACUCGUUCGAAAAUGCUUGCACUAUGAGUCGAUUUCCAUUCCGUCAGAUCUUCCUUCUAAACGCAAAAGACAAUUUUAAACUGCGGACACCUUGAGGCAAAAAAGGCGAGGAUGAACUAAAUUCACUGCAUAAUUGUUCAAAAGGGAUGAGGGGGUACAAAUUCCCCAAUCACUUAACAACAGACAACAAAACAGAUUAUUAGCAAUGAACUGCCUUUCAUCAAUGAAUUUACAUUGUUAGUGUUAUAUUCUUUACUACAAUGCAAAACCCAAAAUUUACACUUCCAUUCAGCAUAAUCCUUCAAAGUUAAUACUCACUCCAUAAUCCUUCAGUUCAUGGACAAAAAUGGGAAAUUGCUCGUGAGCAAUUUGUCUGACCACAGACAGAAUGUUAAAAUUGCAGAUGGAAGCAGUUGCCAGAAGUCAGAUCGUGCACGACCGGCAGACAGGUUAUAAGACCUCCAUGAAGUUCUAGAACAUAUACACAGCCUCCAAGCAAUCAAGGUAAGAGGAAAAGGGGGUGAUGAUCUCAAGCACUUGAUGAUGAUACUCGAAGAGUUCUGAUAGACAGAUCUUGAAAAUCGGUGACCUGAUUUAAACAUUUUAUCAAUCCUCUUCUUCAGAUGCUUCGUUCAACCACUGCCAAAUUGUACAGAUGUUUAAGAGAUUAGCAUCUGGCAAGCACAACUACAGGAAAAGGAUCACAAAGCACUUGCGGUCAUUUAACUCCGCUAAGAACAAACUAUAUUUGGGAGCUUUGGAAGCAACAUAUAAGAAGAGAAGAAAAGAAAGAAAGGCAGGCAUGUCGAUCUACUUUUAUCGGGAGAUUAGGACGGUAUAUAAAAACAAUUUGCUUUCCUCGUCUUAGGAAAGAUGCAAAGGGUGGGGGAAGGAAGGCAAGUUCAAGUACCUUUUCAAAUAUUGUGUCCUUGUGAUGAGAAAUUUCUUAGAUAAGAGAAAACUUAUUUUAAUGGAAAUCACAAGAAGUUAAAUAUCUUACUUAACUCUUUUCCCAUAAGUAGAAAGAAAACUAAACAAGUCAUGGUAGCAGAUUGGUCAUUAAGCAGGCUCUGAUAGCGAUAGCUUACUUACCAUGCAAAGCUUCUUGAGAUUGUUAAUUACUUCGCUAGGGAGCAAAAAUGCUCAACAUAUCUUCUACCCUCCCCAAACAUAUUUUCCAAACUACAUGAAAACCCUUUAGGUCUUCUAUCACAUUGAAUAAAAUUCCCCCAUCAACAAUAAUCGAAAUCAUUCGGAACCCUUCAAAGCUCAAGGAAGGCAAAGGCGUGACAAGGAAAAAGUAUAAGAAGAACAUUUAGUUUAGAGCAUGCUGACACAGAAGGUAGUUACAAUUUUGGAAAAUUCACCAAAACUACGCGAACAAGGCAGAUCUGACGAGAUCCAUACUUUAACGCUAAACAAAAUGGUCUGCUCAAACACAAUUAUUUACCUGGAUGAAUUUUUCUGCCUGCUUGACAAAUAGCUUAUCAGUCUCAUCAGCACCUUCCUUCUCAGAUGCCCAGUUGAGUAUUGCUUCCUCUUGUAUGAUAUCUUUGUCAUAAAGAAGAUGCAGAAUCUAUAGGAAAAAAGUUGGUGCCUCGUUAUUAUAUAGCAAAAAAGUAAAAAGUCAUUCACUUCACGCAGCAUAUAUUAGAAACAAAUCUCAUAUAUUAGAAACAAAUCUAACAAUGUAUAAUUCCUCACAUCAAAAUGGAAAAGAUGUGGAAAGUUUGGAUCCUAACUGGUCUUACAUGAAGGCUACUACAUAGAACUACUUACAAUCAAAGAAGCCUUGCAAUUAAACCAGUCAAAACUGAAAGUUUUCUACAUCCGUUGCAUAUCAGUAGAUUAGCAUGCAGGGAACACCUCCUCCAAUUAAGAGGUUGUACCAAAUUGGAGAGUCACAACAAUACUCAACUUUCCAUUCUAAAUAUCAAUAAGCAGGGACUCUUAAAUGUUUCCAAAAAACAAGAGCAUCAAUGUCCCACGCCAGAGAACUAGUGAAUAUGUCACAUCAAAUGAGAAUGAGCAUAGGCUAGAACACAAACGUGGACGUGUAACUAAAGAAAACUAGUAGGAAACAAGAACAAAUGUAACACACAGCUAUCUUGCUCUUCUAGAACCCAGGAACAAGUCCAAAGUAAGACACAUUUGCUGCUAUUGAUAUGCAAAGAGGCAAUUACAUGAAAUUGUGAAUUACAAACUUUGGUUUGAAAGUAUGCCAUUGGUACCUAGCAUUCAAUGUGAGGCUACUUGUUCUAAUAAAAAGAUAAAAAGCUAGCAAGGAAAUUUCUAAUAUAUAUAUGUAUGUAUAGAUAUAUAUAGAAAGUAUAUACGUAUAUAAAUAUGUAAAUAUGUGUGUGUGUGAAAGUACUAUAUUUAGAAGAAAAUUUUCUCUUUCAUACGUGGCACCUCCAAUCGCUCAGCAUUUACGGAUUUUGUAUGGAUCAUCUGGAAUUUGGGUAAAACCCGUUUCUGUUGAUCAAACGGAUAAAAUUCAGUCCUAAUCACAUUGGUCUCUUAAUUUUCAACAUAAAUCCAAAAGAAGAGCGGUUUGAGAUAGUUUUAGCCAUAUUGAAAAAAGUUAUCUUCUAAAAAUAGGAUUAUAUAAUCUGCAUUUUAAUUCAAAUCUAUCAUGGGAUAUUUUUAUCCCCUAAUCUCAAAUUUUUCAUGGGGUUGCCUAAUUUUAAGGAUUCCAAAAUUCACGGUGUAUAAACAUGAGGUUGAGGAUGGGUAAUCAGAAAAAAGUUAUCACACAACAGGAUUUUUGAGACUUCGAUGAAGAUGAAAGAGGGAAGGCUCUGGGAACGUUCAAGAACUCCAACCCGAUGGUCUCAGAAUGCUGAAUGAAUUUUGGAUUUUCAUCUAAUGAGUUCAAUAGUGCUCUUUUUGCAAAAUUUUGUUUCAUCUCCUAGCAAAAUAUGCUCUACAAAUGAGUUUUGCUUGCCAAAUUUAUCCAUGUUUCUAUUAACUAAUUAAUUUGUUUUUGUUGUUGACAAUGAAAAAAAAAAAGGAGAAAUAGCGCGCUAUGAAGGAUAGCCAUAGAAGAAAAGUUGUGGCAAGAGUGGUCAAAGGAUGACUUGAAAAUUACAGGGCAAAAGUUUAAUCGUUAUUUUACUUCUCUAUUCAUAUUAUUGGACAAAUUUUCGUUUUUUUAUCUCUCCAAGCUUUAUUUGUGUGUGUGUGUUGUGUUUUUCUUUUUGUUAAUGUAUGGGCUUGAAAGAAAACAGAUCCAAAAACAAAAGUCCUAGCUUUUCAAAAAUAGUUUAGUUCAUAUGUUAUUUCACCAUUUUCCUAUUACCUUUCUCAUGGAAAUAAACAAUAAAAUUUCCAUGCAUGUGCACGGGUUCUGGUAGUGUUAUAGUCUGAAGAAUAUUCUAAAAAAAGUUUGGAAGAAUCACUUGAUAAGGCAUAGAAUUAUCUCUAACAUAACCAUGACUACUUCGUAAAUUAAUUUUUACACCAUUGUAUGAAGUUGAAGACUUCACAUAAGAAGCAUUGAAGCAUAAAAAGUUGAUAAAAACUUUUUUAAGAAUUGAUAAGGCAUAAAAACUUGAUAAGGCAAAAAAAGUUGGCCCUUGAUAAGAAGCAUUGAAAACUUCACAUAAUGUUUGAAGCAAUUAAGCAUUUACACUAUUGUAUGGCUGCACAUGAUGUGACAGCUAGAAGUCAUCUAACCAUAUGAUAAAUUAUCUCAUGACUAUUAACUUUAAUUUUCAACUAUUACUUGGCUAAGUUACACUACUUAUCCUUCAACUAGCAAAUGCAGUAUGACCUGAUUGUCCACACGAACAUGAAGGCUCAUGGACACAGAUGUAAAAAUUCAUCCUUACCUACUCUUCUUCUAUAUCAUAAAUUACUAAAGAAUCUAUGUCGGUUGGAAACAAGAAUGCGAUUGUAUAAACUGGAAUGUCUACAAAAUGAGAUCUAUCACUCCGUAAAAGACGUGUGCUUGUUUGUAUGUGUGCAAAAAGAGUUGGAGAUGCAAGAUACAAUUUCAAGCCAUAGAUCACAUUAGAGAAUAAGAGUAAUCAGCAUUUGCAGCAAAGAAGAAGACAUCAUUAACUCUGAAGACUGGGAUUCUCAGUACACUUAAUAAACUUCAUUAUCAGCAUCCAAGGAGACCAAUAUUCUAAAUAGCUUCUAUGAAAAACUUUCUGAUUUCACAUCAAUUUGCAGUUUGAUGAAACUAUUAAGAAAACUUUUGGAAUUAAAAAUUUAAUGGAGAUUAACAUACCUGUACAAACACUGUUGAAUACUCCUUUGCAGAUUCCAAGCACAUUUCUUCAAAUUUCAGUAUCACUUCGAUCUGAAGUAUAACAAAACUUUAGUUAAUAAUCAAAAACAGAAACAUACACUUAACCUAUACCCACUUAAAUUUCCAAGUGAAUAUCACUGCAAUAAGGUGAUUAAAGAACUUGUCAAUCAAUACAUCAAAUGCCACAGACAUCACUAAGAUCUCUCAUAAAAAGAGUCAUGACAAUGCGUUUUACUAUCUACAGGAACCUGUGCUUCUCACAAGUGCAGCAUUUUGUCAUAGAAAAAAAUAUCAUGCAAUUACUUCUUGCAAUACAUCCCCAAAAAUGUACUACUUGCAUUUGUUAAAGACACAGAUCUUAGGGGAAGCAAGAUAUUAGGCCUAAGGCUACCAUGGCCACAGCUUUGAAGAACAUUAAGACAAUAAUUUUGUAAAAGGGAUGCUUGGAAUUGGACCUAAGAUGAGCCUAAAGUAGUUGAGACUUUCUCUACAGCCAAAAGCCUGCAAUCUAAAAUUACACAAUGCAAUAACAAAUCAAACUGAGCAGUAAAACACCUCAUCAGGAUCAGAUGAAGAGAUCAAUAGACCAACCUCUUCAUCUAUACUUGGCAGGUAAUACUUCAAAAGUUUUUUCCAUUUUGUAAUGACAGUUGCAGCAUUUUUCACCAAAUCACCUGCAAUGAAGCAUAAACAAGCUUUUACACAAGCAAAGAUUUGCAUAUCCUCCUCAGUUACUUGGCACAAAGAGGGAAGUACCAACUUCAGUCACUUAAACAACAAAAUUCAACACAAUGAUGCUACUACAUUUCAAGAUACUAUUUGCUGGUUGAUUAUCCCUAUUUCUUUGUCUCUCUCUCUCUUCUGAUUUUAAAUACAAAGUGAUGCACUGGUUAUAAAAUCAAGACAGAAAACAAGGCUAAGGCUCAGUCUGGAAAAAAAAAAAUGGGCCAGUUUAUUCUGAACAAACUUCAAUCACCCAGGAUGAGGCUAGUUUCAUCUAGUCCUACUUUUUUUAAAAAAAUUGAUUCAUAAACUAGCUUUAGUUUUAACAACUAUAUAUAUUAGCAUGAUACAACAGGUUGCAUUUAUUACUAUAUAUGUUAACCAAAAAGCAAUCUAAUAGGUCCUAAAGCAAUUUGUUAAAGUCUAUCAAGUUACUCUGGUUUAAAAAGUUUCCAGUUUCAGGCCUUAAUUCAACUGAAAGUACACCCAAUUUACUCUUCAAAUAGAAACGUGUAAAGAAAAAAUCCAACUAUGUUCUUGAGAUAUACUUAACAAAACAAAAUAAUGAUACUGAUGUACAGGCAGUAGCAGCAGUAAAUAGUUACUCCUAACAUCCAGAAAAUUAACCAAACAAUAAUAGCAGAUAAAUAGAGUUAACAAGAAGACAAAAGAAGACUGUACUAGGUGAUGGAUGUGGUGCACUGAGUGCUGACUUCAUCAUUGAAUAGAAUAAUGCACCAGAACAAUCUGCAGUUGCCAAAUUGUACGACAACCUGAUGCAUAAAAAAUUAAGCUAUCAGAUAUGAUCAAGCAGUCAUCAAUAUAUAGGUUCUUUGCAAGAAUUGUUUCAUUGGAAUACUUAAAUUAGACACAAACGAUUCCACAUGACUAAAAGCGAAUGGUUUAGUUUUAAAGAAUAAACCUACAUGUAUGCAAAUAUAGAGGUGCCUCUGUGUGUGUCAAUGUGUCAGGGUGUGUUUUUGUGUUUCUGUGGCAUGAGUGAGGUGUUUUUGUGUUCUUGUGCAAUGCAAUAGAUAAAUAUGCACUGCAAACAAAGACAUACUAUGUAAACCUUCCCAAAAUUUAAAAAAAUAAAAAUAAAAAGUCAGCACUUCAUUAUUAUCUUCUUUAAUGUCAAUUAAGUAUGCAUGACUGAGUCUCCUCAAUUUAUGGUUUCACUUCCCAAAAUAUUUAGAAGUUCUUUUGAGAAGGAAGACCACAAUACGAUAAAGUUUCAUGCAGGUUCGUCAAUGGACUCAAUCUCUAUCUAACUCACCAGGAGGACACAAAUACCCUUUUUCUACACUCCUCUAUUGUCACGUCUUUAUGUAUAUCCAGGCACAAACAUCUCCAACAAAAUUUAGAGAAAACCAAACCACCCCAAUUUCCAAUGAAAUCUACAGCAACUUCCCAAAAAACAACCCCAAACAAACAUGCCAAGACUAAAUUAUCACCUCUUCUUCCUCCUCCACCACCCCCAGCACCCUCUCACUCCCAGCACCCACCCCACCCCUCUCAUCCCUCUACCUCCCCAAAACCAAAACCAUCACCCCCACCCACCCACACUGCUGCGCCCUCCCACCACCACCACCUCUACCCUCCUUCCUCCUUCCUCUUCCUCUCCCCUCUUUUCUUCAUCCCUCUUUUCCCAAGAUUUUGGUUGCGGUCAGGACCAGAUUCAGUCACAACCAAGGUUCAGACCAGAUCUGUCAGCAGAGCAGGGGUGGAGGAGAGAAAAGAGGGCAAGGGGACAGGUGGAGGAGGGAGGAGGAGGAGGGGGCAGAGGUGUGGAUGCAUCAGGGUGGAAUUGGGAGAGUGGGUAGAGGUGGUGUACUUGGAAGUAGGGGAGAGAGAAGAACACCACAGAAAAAACAUCUAACAACACACACGUCCAAAAACUUUUUUAAAAACUUUCUACAGUGAAGUUUCCUGAAAACAACCAAUCCAAACGGACCGUUAAUUAUUCAGCAAUACUUGCCCGUAGUUUUUAUUUAAGUGGCUAGAAUUACUUAACUCAUUCUUUCAGCAAUAUAGAAGUAUUACUCAUACUUUUAGAACUCAUCCAAUUCAUGUCAUGACAAAAGCAUUGAGAAACUAAUCCUGGCAUGCUUGUUUCAUCUUCAAGCAUGGGAUCUAUCAUCCCAUUUCAAGAAAAUUAUCCCGUGAACAUAGAUGACACUACCCAGAUGACAACUUGAUAGGACAAGAAUGUCAAGUGACUGUUUUGUACUCAUUUUGACUAUUAUCAGUAGUCCAGCAGCUAUCUCAUACUAACCAAUUACAGUACUGUACUAUCUUCAAUCCUAACAAUAAUGACGAACCUAAUGGUUGAUGACUGUUUUAAAGAGGAUGAGAAAUUUUAGGAUAAUUAAUCCUAGGAUGACUCGUCUUUCAUCCAAUCAACUAACCAAAUGAGCCAUCCAGUAUCAUGAUACUUUUGCAGCCAAGUAAGAACAGUCCAAACCAUUUUCUGGAGUAAAAUUUCCAAAUCUAUGCAUUUAAUGCAUGCUUUUGAAAAUUACCUUGAAAAUCCAGCAACAGAACUACGUACACUGUACUCCCAAGAAUUAAAUAAAUAGCUCAUGUCUUUGGUUUACAUGAGAGAUUCUACAUCACCAAAAUAGUUCCUGUUCUUCUAUCUACAAAAUUAACAUCACUACAUCUCACUUUAUAUUCCCUGGGAGCUUACUUUUAGAGCAACUCUGCUAACUAAAGAUCCCCAGGAAUUAAAAGAAAGAAGCAUUUUAACUUGCAUAGAUGUAGAAACCAUCUCACCAUUAAGCACUAAAACAACGUAAAACAUACCGCAAUGAGUUGACCUCCAAUAUUACAUCGUCUUCCUUAAUAUUCUCCUCUAGAGCCCGUUUAAAAGUAGCUUCAACCUGCAAGCGUAAAUGCAAAAUUCAUACUUGGGUCCAACAAAAACUGUUAAAGGACAGUAUGCCUAUAACCAAAUACCUCGUUCUCAAAAACCUCAUAGUCAUCUUUGACAUCAACAUCAUCAUCAUCAUAAUCAUUUGAAUUAGCAGUAACAGAAUCACGUUCCAGCUCCCCUGAAGGAGGAAGAUUGCCAUCUUGUUGCACCACCUCAAGUUCAUUGUUUGAGGUGUGCAUAAUUUCAAGAAGCUUGGCUGCAGGAAUAGGUGCAACUGAAUGCCUCCAUUCCUCUUCAUGGCUGCCCUCACUUGUGGACCAAAUGAAACCAACCCCACCACUACCAACCUGGUGAUUCAAAAUGGCUCGUUAUGCAUGCUAUAAAAAUUCUUUUCAGGUUUAUAUAGACUAGUCGGUACUGAGUCCUCUAAAUUACACAUCAAUCAAGGCUCAGAAAGCUAACGGACCAUGAAAUUUAAAGAAUAUUAUGGCUAAUGAGUAUAAGAUUUUCCACUCAAAUGAGUACCUUACCCAGAUAUCUCAUUCUUUAGGAUGAGACAGAAGAUACAGCAAGAGAGCCUUCUGUAUAAUUUCACCAAUCAUUCUAGAAGAUAUCAUUUUAAAAACAAACAUUUUUACAUUAAAAGAACAAAACUUUUUAAAACGCAGUAUAAACAAUUUUAAAUAUCCCUAAUGGAGUUUUUGUCCUGGAGAAGCUAAGCCAAGCAUACCCGAAAUUAAGAUAAAGAACCCCAGAAUUAGCUAUGCCAGGGCACUUUAUUAUUGCAUGAAAUCAGCAGAAUCAGCAGUAGUAUCCUCCAUUACAUGAACAACAAAAUCUUUCAACUUAUCAAAUUCAAUACCACAAAAUAAGAGAGAAUAUCUUAAGACUUCCGAGUAUAAGAGUUUCCUCUCAAAAUAGUACCUUAACCGUAAAUGUCAUUCUUUGAAAUCAGAAAAAACCACUAGGGAAUGAUUUUAAGAAGUCCUUGAACAUUUUGAGCAUCAAAAGAACUUAUUAAAAACAUCUACCCACGAUAUCAUACUAUGGUACAUUUCAAAAGCCCUAAUGAAGUUUUCUCCUGGAGAAGUUGCACCAAGCAUACUGUGGAUUUAUGAAAACAAAGAACCCCUAAGAUGACUGCUGCACUCAUGAAAUAAUAAUCCUGCCUCUUGGGCAUUUUACAGCUCAUUUAACCAAGUUCACCAAUAGAAACCAUGAUAAUGUGAUAAAUCAAGAAACAUUUCUGAACUUUUCACAGAUAAUGUGCAUCUGCUUUACGCUUGUCAAGAGUUGAAUAACAUGUCAAGAAAAGUACGGAAACAAGAAUUUCCACGAGUCACGAUAAAAUUGGAAUAUAACAGAUGCAUAAAUCACCAAGAAGAUAUCUAAAUAUUCAAAACAAAAAACUAUGACCUAAGUUACAAAUUGAUAGAACCGGUAACCAAACCUCAGAUGCAGCCUGCAGCUGCGACUCAGAUAAUUGUAUAGUUGACUCUUCCUUCAACUUAUCUGGCAAACCAGACAGUGCUGCACAACAAAUGGCUAAUAUCAGGAGUACUCCUGGAUAACUUAAAUAUGUCUGUUCUAAAAUAAGUAGCAAUCACCAAACACAAAGAAAAACACAAUAAACAAAUACAUGAAUAAAUAAACUAACAAAUAACUAUGCAUUAGCAUCACUAGCUAACUUAUUCUACAAGUCCAUCUGAAGUAACAUUAUCUAAAAGACAGCUACAUUGGAAGCCACAGACUGCAGUCUACUGACUGUUAACAAAUACUAAUGGCUUGAUAACACCAACAAAAUGACCAAGACAGCAGAAACUUCAUAACGAAUCUCUCAAAAUGGUCCAAUUUUAAAACAGGAUAUAUCAAGAUCUCCAAACUAGCUUGUCAUAGCUAAGAUCUUUAUAGGCUGAGCUGCACAGAGAUGGUUCCAAACUACACUAAUCUCAUUAAUCCCAUCGAAUGAAGCAGUAAUUUGACUUUUGGAUGGACCUGGCAUAAUACUUGGGGGCCCAAAGGAUAACAAGGUUGUUUAGCCCAAAAAAAAAAAAAGUGAAAGAAUUAAAAAGUGUAUAUUAACAUUAUCAGGAGCAGACAUCACCCAAACAUUACAACCCCAAUUCAUGAAUAAGCCCAUCAACGACUUGAUUUGGCACAACAUCUUUCUACCUGGUUGUAGGCUCCAAACAUUUGAGAUUCCGGGAUAUCCAGUUAAAACUUUGAUAUGGCAGCACCCAGAUGUCUAUCAACUCUAAUCAAUUCCCUCAUCUCUGGAUUUUCUCCAAUGUAAAAUUGCUACCAACCCAGAAGCUAUUUGAAGCACAAACAACCGAAACUACAGAUAUUCAAAAUGGCUCUGCCCCCAGAUUUGCUUCUCUUGAUAAGGAAAAAUCCCUUGAUCAAUCACUUUCCAUCUGCUCAUGCCCCAGAUUUGCAAAAUGACCACAAUAUCUCCCCCUCACUUCUACAGUAACUGUCUAGAUAUUAUUAUCAGGCACAUAUCUAUCACACUUAUAUAACAAGGUCAUGUUCUUUCUUUUGCUUAUCCUAAUUGAAACAAAUUUUUGCUUAAGCUUGAGUUCAGCAUCUCAGCUAGCUGUAUAUAAUUUUUGUUCCCUUAAAGGAAUAUCUUGCUUGUUGCAUGAUUGCCACCUUAGCAUUUCAUGCUAUAGACCAUAUGAAAUCUAUACCAUUUCAUGCUGUAAACAAGCCGAGAUAGUUGAAGGUAAGUAAUUACAUGAAGCAUCCAUGAAUCCACUGCUGCUGUCAGCAUAUUCCAGUUCCUCAUCACUAUCUUGUUUGAUGGGCUGCUGAUACAAGGAUACCUUUGAGUAUGCAGGAACAAUAAACUGUUGUCCUACCACAACCUGAUGGCAAAAAAAAGCGGCAGCUUAGAUCUAUGGUGCCAAUUAAAUUUCUGAAUGCUCGAAAAAACUAAUACGCAUAUAAGAAUAUAUAUGUGCACGACACAUCUGAAUUGGCAAAUUAAGCAACGAGUAUCAGGACAGAAGAUUCAUCAUUCACGUAUAAAGCACUUCAACGUGAUAAUGCAAUAAGAAUAUUUCACCAAAUAUGUUACUGAUUGUGUAACUUACUUGGUAUGAUUUCAAAAGAUGAAAUUAAUCAAUAGAGGAUAAAUUUCAAAGCCACAAUUACUGCAUAGUUUUUAUGUUAGGCACUAAGCUUAUGAAGAUUUCACAGUGAUUUUUUACACUUACACCAUAUAAACAUUCAAAAAAGACCACAAAGAAGUUCUAUGUACCAUUUUGAAUCCAUCUAAUCACAAUGAUCCUUAAAAAGUGCAUACAAGCCUUGCAAAAAAUGGCGUAACCAUAUGCCCUCCUUUGCACUGACCUUGUCAGACUUUCUAUUUGGAACAUCCCGCUUACAUUUCUUUAUAAGCAAAUAUUUGUAGAAAUGUCAACUUCUCAACGUAUUAUUUUGAGAAUUAUAAAUCAAUAGACAAUUAUUUGAGUAAUGUACUGCAUCAUACCCUUUUACUGUUCUCAUUUUCCUUCUCUUCUAAAACUAUUGGAAACAUCACCUUAAUACAAUACUUUUGCUUAUAUGUGGUGCUAUGUUAAAUAUGAUCCCAAACAGCACACUCUGUAGAACAGCCAACAGUAAGUCCUACCCCUGCCACUCUUAGAACCAAACCAGCUUCACCCACCCAAAGAGGCCACACUUGGUAUUCCCACCAGCACACAUGCUAUUGAUAUCUUAUACAAUAUAAUAAAGAAUACAGAUAUAAUUCUUUGGCAUGCUCGAAAAAACAAGCAUGCUGUCCAAAUGCUAAUGGACAAGCAUUUUUACAUGUUAAAUAUCACACACUUGAGCUAUCAAAUAUUAUCUUUCCACAAGGAUCUUUGUCAACCACCAUUAUUUCCCUAUGCCAAUGAAACAUAAUAAUCAUAGAGUUCUGUCACAGAAAAUCUGCAGCCAAUUAAGCUCGUCCAUUACUUGAAGGAUAAUGUUCAUGGCCUUCAUAGUAAGCUGAAAAAACAUGAAGUUCAAUAACUGCAUCCAGGUAAACAAGAGGAUGCUGUUUGCUGAGUAAUAAUAACAUACAACAGAAAAUUUUAUGAAGUUUCUCUUCUUUUCUACUUCUAGGAGAGCUUGAAAUUGAAACGUUAGUUAAAAAGGAAAACCUUGUAUGACAAGACUACACCAGGUUCGAGAAUCACUCCUGACUUUAUUACCACCCCAUCACACACUAUUGCAUGCUUUAGUUGACAACCAUCUUCAAUCGUAACAUUGUGCCAUAUGUAGCAACCCUCUAUUGAAACAUUUGCACCAAUUUUACAACCUUCACCAACUACUGAAUUUGAAAUUUGAGACUGGCUUCCAAUGGUAGUGCCACUUCCUAUAACGGUAAAUGGCCCAACUUGCGCAGAACGUGACUGCCCCACCACUGAACAUAAUCAAGUGACAGCAUCAGAAGGAACUAAAAGAUAAUGGUCCCAGUUCGCUCAGAGCAUUAGCUUCCACUUAAAAAAGUAUGGAGACCAUAUUACAAGAUAUACAUGGAGUAGCAGCUCAUUCAGGAGAACAAAAAGGAAGAAGAAGAAACAAACUUUAAGAAAAUCCAACAAAAAUUAGCUAUUUUGGAAACUAAAAGGGAGGGCAGUGGUUAACUAUGAACAGAUUACAGCAUUAUACAUAAGAUAAACAAAGGUGACUGGAAUUAAGAAAUGGAUUCUUUUGCAGUCAAAGCAACCUAUCUAUUGCAAUAUUAGUAAAAUUUCUUUAAAAUAAAAAGAAACACAAGGUAAACAUGGGAAAUCUAUUCCUACAAUUCUGUUGGUCAAUUAAAAAUAUCUUAUGUCAAAAGCAGCCGUGACAGCUACGUGCUCGCAAAGAAAGUCACUGAGAUAGGGUAAAACAUUGAAACUAUAUCAGCUUAUAGACAGAGCUCCCAUAAGUGCACCCUGCAAGUAACAUAACAUUCAUUUGUAGGGCAACCUAAUACAGAAAACAAGACAAGAGAGGACCAUGUGACAGAUUAGCUCCCAUGACCAGCACCUAGAGGGGACAAAUAAUGGAGAACCAACAUAAAGAAAACCUCCAUAUCAACAUCUUCCAAUUUUUCUCUAUCCAUUUUUGUUAAUUUUUAAAUUUUCAGAAAAAACAAAUAGUGAAAGCACAACAGAUGGGCAUUAUGUCAUCUGAUGCACUUCCACCUCCUCUGACAGAGUGAUCAAAUACAGGAGGUGGACGCUAAAGCACCAUCAUCAACUUCUUUCGACACCAACUCAUAAAAGAUCAAUCAGCCAGCUAAUAAGCACAUUACUUACCUGAUGCUCGGUACAUUCCUUGUCUGUCAAGUUUAGCAGAAGAAUUUCCAACAAAUUGUACAUCAGGCACCAAUGGAUAUGUCCAUCUUUGAAUAAUGUCCUUGCUGACAGUAUCAUAGCUUCGGAAAUUAUCAAUUCUAGCCGCAUAAUUUGAUUGAAUUUCAUGAGUGAAAAUCUUGUAACCCAUUAUCUGACAACAAAGAAAAGAUGUACAAAAGAUCAGAAAGAGAGAGGAUACAUGCGUCAAUCAACCAAAAGAGAUUUUAAAGACUUGGAAUUUGCAAAGGCUUGCUUGAUUGCAUAGCCAAGUAUACUAAUCACAAGGUUCCACUUUUAUGACCAAGAUAAACAAACCAAACAUUAGCACUAAAACCUAAGCACAGGACCAACUUAAGGAGGUAGACAAAAUAUCACUGAGCAUGCAUUGGCUACUUGAAAGAAUAAAAUCAAAGAUGCAACAUUUCUUGCACCACCAAAAGGUCAUCUAAGCUUUAUACCAUAUCAUGAGCAAAUACAUUGAGGUUGUAAGCAUGUUGGAAAAUGCAGAUCUUACAUUCCACAAAUUAUAAGAGGAACAGGAGGAUGAGAAGUAAAACAAUAAGCUAUCAAAUAUUGAGCAAGCACACUGCAGUUCUAAGACUGAUUGACUAUGAGGAUUUAUAUCUAAAGCAACUAUAUAAGAAGGAAGAGGAAAAGAAAUCCUCCCAUCAUACUUAGAUGCAAGAACAUCAUGCAUUAAAAAUAAUUAAUGAGGCAUAUUUCUGACACACAAGUAGUUCGGUGUAAAAGUAGAAGGUUCCACAUGUUGGUAACUUCUUGCAAUAAAUCCAGCCAAUGGAUAAAGCUCUAAGAAAGAUCAAAACAAUGCCAUGCAUUUCCAAAUUCAUUAGAGUCAAGAAGAGGAUAUAAAAGAUAGUGUAUAAAAAUAACAUUAGCUAAAAAGUACACAGAUGAGUGAAGUUCAUACUAUUCCAGGAUUCCUAUACUGGUCAAACUAGUCCAACAGUGGUGAAAAUGUUCUCAUUCAGUUUGUCCUGUCCAUAGCUUUUAGUUACUCAAGAAGAGAUAAGGCUUACUGAUAUACUUCUAAGCACACAAAAGAAGGUUUCCAUUAAACAUGGCAUGACAUGCCCGUCAACCAUAAAACAGCUCAAGCAAAUUUCAAGCACGAACUGCAGAGGACUUUUAUUGAUUUUGAAACUAUAGAGGACCUUUGUUCAAGGGUAUCUCAAAAUGGUGGCUCGUUGUUAUUGAAGAUAGUUAAUUUUUUCCAAUUGUAUGGAACCUUUACUAACCUCAUAUCCGCAAGAACAUCCAGCUCAUCAGGAUUUACUUGGUUAGUUUAAAAAAUUAAUUUCACAAAGCAUUUAUAACAUGAUGCAGGCAUCCCUACAUCAUGCAAUGCUGAAUUUUACUAUAUCUCAUGGGCAACCUGCUCAAGCAUGUAGUUUCAUGCUGCUGACUACUCAUACUAGCAUUGCUAAUAAUGAGAUUUCUACACCAUCUGCAAAAGCAAUAUCUGCUAUAUGUGCACAUUAGCUUUCCAAGUAUGCCAUUUCUACAUUCAUCUUCAGUCUAUAGUGGUCAGCAAAGGGCACCAAUAAUUCAUGCAUUUAUCUAUGACAGGAUACAUCACAAAUACAUCUCAGUCACUAAGACCUAAUUGAUUGUUACUAUACCUCCCACAAAAUUCUGAAAAGACAGAGGUCUUGUGGCCAGGAGGCUUCUACCAAAUGUCUCAUCAACAUCUGCCCUAUUUUAAGACCAUUGCUUGGCCCUCCCUAAGAGAGAAGAAUUAAGAUUCUUAAGCUAGCAUUUCUCAUUUCUCAUUUGCUUGGCCCUCUCUAUAUUAGCAUGGGAUUGUGGUGCACCAUUUUUGUCAUAUGUCUCAUUUAUCCAUCAAACUAUCGCCUAGUGUCCCUUUCAAACAUGGAGAAAAUAGCUUUUUGCUUAAGGCAAUGACGCUAGUCUACAGCAGAAGCUUCUUUGAUGCAAAAGGUGAAAUUUCUUUGCCUGUAGAUAACUCUCUCUCUCUCUUGCUUCCCAUGCUUGUGCAGUACCACCCAUACACCUAACACCUGAAACUAACUAAUUCACUACAUUUAUUUGAUUUCCGCUUAGCAUGUUUUCAAUCAAAUCAAUUAAUGCAGUCACCCAACUCUUUUAGAAGGCACAUUAUCUCAAACUAGACCUAGGCUUGAUUUAAAAAUAAAAAUACCCAUUAAUUACUCUACAGAGAGUCUUUAUGAGAAAAAGCUCCAGAAAUAAAUGGUCCAUAUGCACACCCAAGAGAAAAUUAGUAAGACAAUGUAGGAAAACAUAAAAUCAAGACCAGAAUAAGAGGUAUAAGUAAUUUUUCCAAUACACUGACUCAGAAGCUCUUUCCAGAGCUGAUUUCUAUUUACUUCAAUAACACAAAAAAUAAAGACAUUGCUACUACAAGCCUUCAAAGAAAACACCUGGACAUGCACUCACACCACUGUAUCACAAGAUGUACUUAGACCAGAGUACUCUGUAUACAUAGCUAAAAUGCAGUGAGAUCCACAAGACUGCAGUUACUCAUAGGCCUUAUCAAAUACUUUAUCUACCACUUCCCACUUUGAUUGGUGGAGUGCUUAGGCAGUAAAUUGCUCCUGUGCAUGUGCAGGUGUGUGUGUGUGAGAGAGAGAGAGAGAGAGAGAAAUAAGCCAAGAGAUGCAAGGCAUACAUCAUCAUCAAGCAAACCCUUCAAAAAAUGACGCCGUAGAUGUUGAUAGUCAAAAUUGUCAGCGAAUGUGCUCAGGACUUCCGGAGAGCAAAUGUCAAUGUAGCAAUCCUGCAAAAAACCAUAAAAUCCAAUUACACCGCCCCAAAAACAUAACUAUUUUCUGGGGGAAAAUGACGAAGAAAAAAAGACAGUAUCUUUGGGGGAAUCUCUAAUGAUUUGACAAGGCUGUCUAGCAAGUAAAUUACCAAAAGUUAUCAAUUUUGACACCAUAAACCAUACCCAGGAAACUAAAAGUACAGGUAUCCACAUGAACUGCCCCAGCAGUGAGUUUUUUAAGUUGAUAAGAAUAUGCUUAAGAUCAAGUCUAUCCAUGUCCACAUAUCAAAGCAGUAAGCAAACUAGUGAAAUCCAUUCAUGUUGUGGCAGAGAACAAAAGUAUUCACAGAAAAGAAGUAGCAGGCUGCACUUCCAUACAUCAGAGAUGACGAAAACUGACCCCCUCCUACCCCCCCCCCAACAAAAAAAUACCAAAAAAGAGGGGAAAAAGUUGAUGAUGAUGAUGAUGAUGAUGAAGAAACUCAGUAAGUUUGAUAAUGACCAUUAAUAAGCACUAGAUUCUCUUUCGGUUUCUAUUGCAAAGCCACGUUAAGUAGCAAAUCUCAAAACUAACUUUGUCGAAAGCACAAACAAUACCAAAGGCAAGUGAAAAAUAACUCAAAAUACAAACCUGCUUGUCAUUAUGUAGAUAAAUAGAUGGAUGAUCAGAAAGCAAUGUCUUAUCAAGUGACACUGUUCCUUUAUCAGACUUAUCCUCGUAAUAAAGGAGUUGCUUUGUAUCAGGAUCAAUUGCCAUAAACAACUCAUCAGUUCCAAGACGAGAUUGACGUGUUGUUGGAGAUGUUUUUGACUGUGUUAUGACCAUGGUCAUAAUGGCAUUGCUAUCCUUUCUCCUCCUCUCCUUAUGUUCUCCAAGUGCCUCUGCAAGAGACAUAUUACUCACUGUAUCUCCACUAACAAGGACAAAAUCUCCACGUAUCUACAGAGGUAAAAGUAAAGCCAAUCAUCACAUGAUAAACAACAGGCGGAAAGCAGUAGCAAAACUUAGAUAAAUAAAUAAAUAAGAAGAUCCAAAUACAUGAACUAUCCUAGUCACAGAGAACAAUGGUAUAUUGCACCUAAAUUAGCUUACUGAUACAUUACAUAUAACAUCGAUCAAGUCAAGUUCCUAAACUGCUGGCAGCAUUUAAUGACUGAAACAAAUAUGUACUUUCCUUUCCUCCUUUCCUGGAGAGACUUUGCAAAGUACAGACCAUUGGAAGAACAGGACUGACAAGGAAAAACAGAGAGCAAAAGUUCAAUUUUGUAUUUGAAAUGAACUACUGAUGGAGGGUGCAUCAAGUGGGUAUAAUUUUCUUUUCAACAUAUUUUUCACAUAACAUCUUUUUCAAGGCUACUUUGACAAAAAGUAUAGUAAUCCCUACAAACUUCCAAGAAAAUGACUUUCCACCCAUCCAAGUCAGACAGAAUAAAUGUAGAAGUCCAGACUGUAAAUUGUCCUCUAAUCAGAAAGUGAGCAUAAAAGAACAAAAAGCAAUGUCAAAACUCCACAAGAGACUCUCAAGUCCUUAUUCAAGUCGCUGCAAAUAUUGCCAGUUGACUGUUCAUCCUGCUGAGAUUGCAAACAACACAUUGAAAUAUAAUUCCGUUUUACUUGGAAGGAGAGAACAGAAGCUUUUCCAUAGAUAAUCACACGUAACAUAAAAUCAACAAUAGUGAACAAUCAAUGACAACUCAGAAUGCUAUCUUGAUUCUUCAGCUAAAUCUAUCAAAUAAAAUUAAACCCAAAAUGGAUCUUUUUCUCACCCUAAGGUUCAUUUUCCCUUUGAUUUUAAGCAUUGGCAGACAAUAACAAUUAUAGUUUCACACUGAUUUGCUGACUGACAUAAUUUCCGACAUCCUAAGGUUUCAUUAAUAGAAAAAACAGUCAUUGAUAAUGUAACAAAGCUACAACAACACAAAACAUCCAAUUAAAUCAACAUACCACAUUUUGCUCAUAUAUCAAACGCAAAGCAUCACCAGCACCAACCGCAUUGUUCGAUUCGAUAGCCGUCACAGAAAAGUUCGGUUGUGCAAACCACUGCGAAUUUUCCAAAUGCUCAGCCACUUGUUUCGCAUGAGCACAACAAAACACAAAAACCUCUUCAACUCCAGCUGAUUCUAGCCACGCUAAAGUAUAAUCAAUCAUCGGAACAUUCACUAGCGGCAGCAAAACCUUCAAUUUCAUAAAUAUUCAGAUUAAAAACAACUUAUACGCAGCAAUUUAACAGGAAAUUUUCACUUGAAUUUCAAGAUGCAUAGAGAAUUGAAUUACCUUCGGGCGCUCAAGGGUUAUCGGGCGGAACUUAGUGGCGAAGCUAUCAGCUAAGAGGAUGGCUUGCAAGGGAACACGUGCUAAUUCCUCGACAGAAACUUCCGUUGCAGCGGCGGUUCCUCCGCCACCGCCUCCUCGGUUUCUGCCACUCUUUUUCGCCACCAUUUUUUCCCAGCUUGGCUAAGUGGUUUCUGAAAUUUUAAUGAAGUAAUUAGACGCAAAAUUGUUCAAAUGAGGAUUUGAAAAACGAGAAUUCCUGGUGUUGCUGGGUGGGUAAAAACCCUCCUGGGACAUAGAACAUAUUCCUUCUUGAAGUCCAUAAACCCCAUUGGUUUUUCCGGGGAAAUGGCUGAUUUAGUCCUCCAACUCUUCUAGUAAACAGAUUUAGUCCCUAUACUUUCUUUAUCUCGCUAAUUAAUCGUUUGACUUCCAUUUUUAUGUCAAUUUAGUCCCCAUUGAAUUGUAUGUCAAUGUGUGGACUUCUCCAAACAUGUGAAGCAUUUUCACACUCAUAUAAAAUGUGAUUUUAGAAGUAUCCCCAUAUUGGUUAAGUACCAUACUGCCCCAAAAUGUAUCAUGUUGUUUCAAGUAUUGCGAACUCAAUUUAGCUAACAGAGUUUAGUUUAUCAUCUUUAAUUUAACAAUUUAUAAGCCACUUCUGAGCAAGUUGAGUAAUUAGAUCUUGGGAAAAAUAUACUUUUCAUCCUCGAAAUUUGGCAUAACGACCAAUUUCGUCCUCAAAGUGUUGAUGCAAACACAUUUUAUCCUCAAACUUGCUCAAUUUCGAUCGAUUGAGGACAAUUGACAGAAAUCAAACCAAAUUGGAUGGAGAGUUGCUGGCUUCGUUAGCCAUCGUAUUUUGGCCAGCUAAAUGGUGAAUAAAUCCCUUAUUAUUUCUCUUCCUUCUUCACUUAUGGUCUCUCUUCUUAGCCACUCCCAUAGCAUCUUCAAUCCUCAAUUUGCCGGCAGGAAGAGUGGCAAUAAAGGACGCCGAGGAGAAAUUAGUCUCAAGCAAUGAGUAGCCCAAAUUUUGGGGGUUAAUGCCACUUUGUCCCCCCAAACUUUGGACGAUUACCCACUUCAGUCCCUAAACUUAAAAAUGGGACACUUAAGUACCUAAACUUAUAAAUACCUCCCACUUAAGGAAAAUUGUUAACAAAUCCUGAAUGCCGUUGGUAGUCGAAGUGUCCCAUUUUAUAAGGGUUUAGGGAUUUAAGUGUUCCAUUUUAUAAGUUUAGGGACUUAAGUGGGAGGUAUUUAUAAGUUCAGGGAUUUAAGUGUCCAAUUUUGAAGUUUAGGGACUGAAGUGGAUAAUCGUCCAAAGUUUGGGGGGACAAAGUGGAAUUAACCCAAAUUUUGGUGAUUGGAUGUUAUCAGCAGGCUUCUGUGAUUAUGGGCUGCAAACAAAAUUAACAACUUGUUGGCGCGAUGAAAAUCAAGGGAGAAGGUUCAUUGGUUGUCCUCUAUGGUCAGUAAGAAAUAUUUGUGAUAUGAACAUACUAGUGCUUGUUUGAUUUUUUGCUGUCUAAUUCGGGAAAAAUGUUCUUGUUUUGUUUCUUUAGGGAUCGAAUAUAUAUGCAAGUAUUUUAAGUGGGUUGAUGAGCCAAUGUGUGCAAGAGGAAGAGUUCUUAUACCUAGUUUACUGAAAAAGGUGAACUAGAUUAAAGAAAAUGUUGAAAAAAAUGCGCAAGAGGGAGAAAAUUUGGAUUAGCAUAAUUGUGAUGUUGGUCGUCCUGCUGGUUCUGAGUUGGAGGAGCAAAAGCGAAGGAAAUCCAAAGUCCUGCAGAGUUUGGAGUGAUAUUUUGUUGUUUUUGCAGAAGAAGAUCAGAAAGUGACAUUGGUUUACUGAGAAAUUGAAACUGUAUUUUGUAAAAAUUGAUGUGAAUUGCAGUUGUAAUUGACCUUUGUUUUUUGGUAACAAAAUGUGUGAAUCAAAUCGAGAACUUGAUGUAGAUGGAACCGAGUAGGAAUCGAAAUGUAUGAGAAUCCCAUAUUGUGCAAGGAAAUGGAACAUGUUCUGCUAGCAAGAAACUUGUUUCAAUUCUGAAAUUGUAAUUGGUUUCCCCAAAUUUGUUGUCCCUGUUCUACAUUAAAGGGUACUUCUUUUUUUUUUUUGUCAGCAAUGAUACAUUUGUAUAACCUACUCUAUCCUAAUCUAGAAGGGAGGGGGAGCAUAAGGAGGCUGUGGUAAGAGGCUAGUGGGUAUAUAUAGACCCAACUAGACCAAGGGAGUACUCUGACACAACGUUUAAAUUUUUUUCGCUACUCAAGGAGGAACUUAAGUCCCUCCCUGGUAGCCACCGAGCCAUUGGCCCAGUGGUUUACAUUAAAGGGUACUUUUUUUUUUUUUUUUUCUGACGGAGUGGGUGUCCGGGUCAAGUCCUUAAAGGCGGCCCGACUAAUCCCACUUCGGCCCGGCCCAGCGCCCCAACCAGACCUAGCACGUUAGAUGCACAGAGAAACUGAUGUUGCUGCGGAGAUUCGACCCCAGGACAUGAGAACCCGAGAGAAGAGGCCCAACCACCAGCCCAUUCACGUGGGGGCCAUUAAAGGGUACUUGACUGUGUCUUUAUUUUAUACCAAGUACAAUUGCAUGAAUUAAUGUACAAAAGAAACUGUAGAAGAGAAGAAAACAAUAUAAGACAGUGAAAUGUAUGAAAACAUGAAAAGUGAUUGUACUGAAUUCAUAGUUUCAUAUGGUCAUGUACUUUCCGAUUGAGUAAGAAAAUGUCAGAAAAAAAAAUGUACUUUCCGAUUGAGUUGUGGACCAUAGACACACGUGUUUCUCACUUAGCUUGGGACCAUAAACAAAAAAAAAAAAAAAACAAAAUGUUACUACUAUUAGUUAAAAUAAAAUAGGUCUUAGAUACAAGAGUUAUCUUCGCAUCUUUUAUCAGGUCAAAAGAGCCAAAAGUUAAUGCACAAUUGUAGCAAAGCCAACAAUUGUGACAGCAGCUUCUCUUUUCCCUUUGACGUAGAUGACCCAGCAACAACAUGUAUGUGAACGAACAUCUUUAAUGUUGAAGGAAUUUGAACCUUAUCUUUAGUUAUAGGAAGUGGGUUGUUGCUAUAUUUCACUUCAGACCUUAACAAUCAAAAAUAAAAAAAAAAAGGUUAAAACUACAGCAUUUCAGCAACACAUAUUCAACUAGGCAUACACUAGUCAUGUUAGUUAGUGCUUGUUCACCUUGCUGUCUCUGCUACAAAAACUAGGAACAAACAUUGAACUUCAGAAUAAAAGAAAAUGUAAAAACGAAUUGUAAAUGCAAAUUCCAAUUUUGUAUUUCUACCCUUUUCCCCGAAGACUUAGUAGCAGGCCUCUUGGUCUUCCUUCUCACCUGUAACUUAAAAGGAAAGCAAUAGUUACCUUCAUAUUUAUUUAACCAAUUAAUAUAGAUAAAUAUAGCCAGUAAUAAAACAAACUUACUGGUAGUUUGGAUGCCUUAUCAAUGCUAGUCUUGUCAGAUACAUGUGGGGUAGGUAAAAUCUCCAAAUCUUCAGUUAAUCCCCAUCUUUGUUGAACAAAUCAGUGUCCUUUUGGACCACAUUUAUAGGCUAAGAAUCAACCACUCCAUUAUUAAAAAAAAAAAAAAAUUCGAUCACUGCCCCGCGUGAAUGAUCCAGCGGUAGCUCCUCCAACCGGUGACCCCUAAGGUCCCAGGUUCGUGUCUCUGCUCUACUGGAUUCCUCCGCGCACAUAUCGUGCUUGGGCCGAGCUGGAGCGCUGGGCCCGGGCCGCAGGGAUUAGUCGGGCCCCGUAAGAAAUGACCCGGACACCCCUGUGUCGUCAAAAAAAAAAAAAAAAAUCAACCACGAUAUAUAUAUAUAUGAUGAUAUAUAUAUGGUUAAAACUUAGAUUGAUUAUCAUUUAAACCAUUUUGUUUGAUGUUUAAAUUUUAAAUUUUUGUAAAUUUUAUAUGUUUAGGAGGAUGAUAGAGUGUCAUAGGCUUUUUUUUAAGUGUUAAUAAGCUUUUUUGCCUUAAGUGAAUUUAGAAUUUGACUCUUAACAUCACUCCCAAAAUUCAAAAUAGGGGCAAAUGCAUAAAAAUACAGCAUCAAAAUCUAGUCCCGCCAUAAACGGGUUUCCAACUGUUUAAAAUUUGGGGAUAAUUUCAGAACUCUCUCUUGAGAUUUCUGACUAUUUCAUUGGAUUCCCUUCUAAGUUAUGAAAAUUACACUAACCUUCCUUGAGGUUAAUUAUCUUGUAACAAUUAGACCCAAUCAAUAAUUCAUAAAGUGAUAUUAGGAGAGAGAAAAUAAUAUAAUUUCAUCAUUGCCCCUAAUCUACUAUAUUAUUUAAUUAAUUUAAUACCAACCCACAUAUUAAAGAAAAACACUAAAAUUUGUUGUUUAUCAUUAGGGAUCAAAUCACAUAUAACAUCAAAAAUAUAUAUCAUUUUAUUUUUUUUCACUUAAUACAAGAUCCAAAUUAUUCUUUUCAAUUACAUACCCAUUGUUAAAUAUGAUUAACAACAAAUGAUCAAAAAAUUUGCAACCAAAAUAUCAUAGAGAAAAAACUUUAGCAUCAUAAAUACUCUUAUCAGCAUAUUAAGGUUAGCUGCUGAAAUUUUUAUGGUAUUAAAUUUCGUUCUUUGUAAUAUUUUGAUUACGAAUUUUUUUAAAUUAUUUGUUUGUAAUCAUGCUUGAUAAUGGGUUCGAAAUUGAAAAGAGUAAUUUGAAUAUUAUAUUAAGUGAAAUAUAUAGAAUGAUAUACUAUUUUUAAUGCCAUAUGAGAUUUAAUUUCUAACGAUAAAUAGCAAAUUUUAGUAUUUUUUUAAUGUUUUGGUUGAAUAGCCUCCGUUUGGAUUAACUAUUUUUCGGGAUGGUUUUUGAAAAAAUUUACGGUAACUGUGUAUAUGAAAAACUUUUACUAUAAAUAUGUUUUUUGAAAUAUUUGAUAUACUGUAUGAAUAAGAUGUUUUUUGAAUUAUUUUUAUUUGUGUAUUACUGUAGCAUUGUAUUUGAAAAACUUGUUUUUUGAAAAUUGGCCAAUCCAAACGAAUAACAAUGAAUUUAGUAGAUGAAAAGUAAUGAUAUACUAUUUUUAAUAAUAUAUGUGAUUUAAUCUCUAAUGAUAAAUAAUAAAUUCUAGUAUUUUCUUUAAUUUUUAGGCUUGUAUUAAAUAAUUUAGUAGAUGAGGGGGCAACGUAAAAUCAUAUUAUCUCCUCUCUCCUUAUAUAACUUUUUAAUUGUUUGUUGGAUCUAGAUGUUACAAGAUAAUAAAACUAAAAAGAGGUUAGUGUAAUUUUCAAAAUUUAGAGGGAGACCAGUGAAAUUAUCCCUAAAAUUUGAGUUUGAUCAUAUCAUUGCCGAAGUACAUAAUACGGACAAAGUGUCACGGCACCUGAGUGCAAUCCCUCUGUGAAAGGGUCUCCAAAGGUCCCAACGAGUCCCACGUGUGAAUAUAAAUGAACGAGUUCGGAGUAUAUAAUCAAUCUUCUCUUCCUUCUCCUCCGACUUCGUUCCUCCGCUUUAUACGUCCCCUUUUUCACCUUUCUUUGCUUCAGCGUGCGCAUAACUACCAAAAAAACCUACGCAUUCAACCUAUCCAUACAUUAUUGCCUGGUAGUAGAUACUACUAUAAAAGUAAGAAAGAGAAAGGUGUCACGGUAUUCUUGGACUAUUCUGCUCCUUUCCAGAAAUUUCAACGUCUUCCCACUUCUUCCCGAGUUAGGUUCACCUUUUUGCUCGCUUUUAAGCUGAAUACUCGUUGGAUAAUCUUGAUUACCCUUCCCUUUACUGUUGGUCCAGAAUCCAAGAAAAAUUGCGUUUUUCUUCCAUUUGUGUUUCUCAUGGAGAGUCCAGAGACGUGAAAAAUUGCGUGUAACCAUCUGAUUAAAUCAGCAUUUCGUUUGAUUUUCCCGGGAUUUUACUGAGGAGACGAAUAUAACAGAGAAAAUGGGUCUGAUGGAAUUAACUACAACGUCUGAUCGCGCGUCAAUUGUGUCCAUAAAUCUGUUUGUGGCAUUGCUUUGUGGCUGUAUUGUAAUUGGCCAUUUGCUUGAGGACAACCGAUGGAUGAAUGAAUCUAUUACAGCCCUGAUUAUUGUAAGAAAUUUACUCUGAUUAGUCCUUCUAUCUAUUGAUUGGUUUAGUGGCUUGUGAAGUUUAAUGUUGUACUAGCAAAAGUACGAUUCUGAUGUCAUAUCUGAUAAUGGAUGUUGAUAUAUGUUGAUCAUGGAUGAUGGAUUAAGAGUUAUGUAACUUACUCGUGUUCAAUGUUUGCGUUGUCUUUUUGAGAUAAGACUGUUAAAUAUACUACAUUUUGGUUGGCAGGGUUUGUGUACUGGAGUUGUUAUUUUGCUGUUAAGUAAGGGAAGAAGCUCGCAUCUGCUUGUGUUUAGCGAAGAUCUUUUCUUUAUAUAUCUGCUUCCGCCUAUCAUAUUUAAUGCUGGGUAGGUCCAAGUCUUUCAUUUUGUUCCUAUCAGUGAUUAUUUUUCGUUAAUUUCUGUUCACUUGUUGGCAUUUAAUAUAUUUACUCAUGUGUAUACUCAUGAAGUUAUUCUUCUCUUGAUGGUGGAGCUUAAUGAGUAUACACGUGAGUAAAAUAUGUUCACUUGUUAGCAUUUAAUAUAUUUACUCAUGAGUGUACACAUGUGUAUACUUGUUCACCUGUCCAUUGAUCUUUUAUCUAUCUAAUCUAAUCUAAUCUAACUGUAAAAUAAAUAAGAGCCUCCUUUUGGUGUUUAUGGUUUGGUCAUUUUAUGUUAUGCCAAACGUGCCGCUUAUAGUUAGUGUUCAAACUGUUCAGUUUGCCGCCUUUUCUCCAGCAUGAUCUUAAGUACAAUAACAUCCUUAGAUGAAAAAAGGCAAUAACUAUAGACUUCUGAAAUAAGCGCAUGCAUAAGGUGUACCAAAAACGCUAUUAUGACAUAAAUCUAUUGUUAAAUAAGGCAAUCAUUCAAGUAACUAGAGGAUGAAAUUUCAAUCCUUGUACAACAGUUUUGAAGAAAUGCAGACAUUUGCUGUGAAGAGCUAAGAUAUCAGGACCACCAGCUAUUUUGGUUGUAUAGAAAUUUAGAAUAUUAGUCCAAAUUUCUAAAGUUGAUAAUGGCUCAAUUAAAAGGAUAAAUAAAGCUAACUAUAAUUCAUGAUGAAAACCAAUUGUUACCAUAUAUAAAGAGGUGUUUGUUUUGUGAUGAAUUGAAGUGCAUAAAAAUCUGUUCUUUGACAUUGAGAAGGCUGUGAUAAUGUGGGCAUUUUUACAUAACCUGUGAUCAUGCGGGCAUUUUACAUACUUAUUCUUUUUUGUUGCUGUUAGAUCUCUUUGUCAAACUUAGCAUGGAGGGACUUUUUCUAAUAACAUAAUGCUUUUGGCACUGACUAGGUGUGCUUUAGUCAGAGAGAAUAUAAAUUAUUGCAAUUUUUCUUUUCUUUUCCCCUUUCUUUUGAAGAAAUAACUACAGUUGAAAGUUGAAAAACAUGUGGGUUUCACAAGUACUUUUGGAAGGGCAGCAUGACUAACAUACAGUUACACUAAUGGAGUUACACAAAAGUGGGUGUUUGGUGGCCUACAAGAGAGGAAGAUUUGAUUUUUGUGGAGCUUAUGCUGGCGAAGCGUAACUUUUGGGAUAAAAUGGUCUAAUAAUGUAUAUACAUGUUCUCAUUGAACAAGUUAGUAGCAAACUUGUCAAUUACGGGGGGACAGACCUUCCAUCAUGGCAAUGAGUAAAUUGCAGUCUCUUCUGCAGUGGGUAAAAUGGUACUUUAAGGUCUGGCUCUUUGAUAGUGGAGAUAGGUUGCCAAAAUUCAUGGCUUGAGCACUUUGUGACAUAGUAUUUCAAUUGCACAAGAAUCUUUUUCUGGAUAUAUGCAUUUUUAGUAUACAUUUCCUUUCAUCUUUAUUAUCUAUCAGGAACCAUGAACGAAGUUUUAUGCAGCUGCACAACAGUCUUCAUUAUAGUGGAAUCUUUACUGACAAAAGACACGAAGAUUGACAGGCAAACAACUUUCAUCUCUAGAGAACUAGAGAAACAGUUGAGCAGUUGGAGACUAAUUUUACGAAAAAAAGUACUCGGUAAAAAGAGGAAAAAAAUGUUAGAAGAAUUAUACCUCGUAUGGGUGGAUGAUAUAGAGUGGAAUAUGCAUGUGGACAAUAAAAACUAGGACUGCUGUUUACAGUGACUGAUGCUCCAACAUUAACCUUGACUCUUGAUGCUCUAACAUUACCCUCUAGGAGCAUUAGAUAUAAAGCAUAUUGUACAACUGAUCUCCUGCAUGUGAUUAUGGGCAUUUAGCUUGAUCCUUAGCCAUGGCUCAUGUAUUUAAAGGUAUGAACUAAGAAUGAAUGUAACACACACAAGAAAUAAGUGAAAAUCCAAGUGAUCAAUAUGAAGACAUGGAAAGGAAAGGAAUGGCAAAUAUGAGAAAGUAUAGAAGCAAGAAAAGUAAGGAAGCUUAACAUUUCUAAAUAAUAUGUAUAUUUCUCUAUCACAUUUAUAGUGGUAAGAAUUGAACAGAGGGUUAUAAAAACUGAUACUACCUAUUUCAACGUAGUUAGGUGCAUCACAUUUGUUUCUGUUACUGGGAUAAGAACCCUAUUGGUUAACAGUUCAAGCAUUGAACAGUAGGGAUAUGUAUCAAUGAGUGAAAUGAAACCGGUAGGGUCAUUGACAGUUGCCUUGUAGUGCUGCUGCAGUUAGCGGCGGUAUCUAGUUAGCUUCUACCUAGAAUAGAAAUCUGAAAAGCGCCAACUGUAGAUAUUAAAUAUAUUGCUAUUAAAGAAGUUGGAAACCGCCAUUUACUUACAUAAUUGCCGAGUGCUAAUUUCUUACUCGUUAAAGAAAUUCUUUCUUAUAUCGAGCUUAAAAUGUCAUGCUCUAAGGAUCUUGUUAUUCCUCUAAUCUUGCAUCACUAUUUGUCCAGUUAGUCAUAGGGAUCCUGCACAGUUUGUUCUGUAUUUGAAAAUCAGGGUUUGUAGUUGCUGUUCUGUUUAGCACACGAAAAUGGCAUUCAACUCUCUCUCUCUCUCUCUCUACAGACACACACAUAUUUGAUUUCCAUGUGGUCCUUGGAUUUUGAUCAUUUAGCUGCUGCAUCGAUCCAUGUAUGUCUUCAUAAGGAGUGGAUAGAUGAAAUUAAAGAUUUCUUACAUUUAGUAUCAAAGUCCACCUUUGCCGCACAACACGGGGUUUAUUAAAUUGUUGUGGUUUACUGACACGUAGUAUGUCAUGAUCUAGCACAAUCCUACUUUAUUGCACGGGUAGGAAAGUUAUUCUCUUUGAGAUCAUUUUGGGCUCACGCUUAUAGCAAUUACUUUGCUUUAUCUUUUGUUUGAUUGGUGUUUUAAUGACGUGAAAUGUAGUCUUUGCAUUUUGCAGAAAUUUCUUUUGUUGUGGCUUUUAAGAAUUAUUUGUGUUAACCCUUUUACUAUGACAGGUUUCAGGUGAAAAAGAAGCAAUUUUUUCGUAAUUUCAUCACUAUUAUGCUUUUUGGAGCUGUGGGUACCCUAGUUUCAUGGGCAAUAAUAUCAUUAGGUAUGUGCGAUGCGUUGACAUACAUUGUAUUUAUUCCCUAAAUGCUCCACUACUGUGAAUUUUAUAUAUGACUCAGUAAGAUAGAGUUUUUUGGGGCUGGCAACUUUCCUCAGUAGUUGCCAAAAAAAAAAAAAAUCCUCAGAACUUUGAAGAAAAAGGAAACUAAUGUAUUCCAAAAGAUGUAUUUUCAGUAGCCAUUCUCUUUUUCUGUUACUUGUUUUGCUAUGCAUGCAUUUCAGUUAGUUAAGUUUUGUAUACUUUACUGUUUUGGAGACUUUACUUGUGAUGAGCAAAUUACUCGGGUAACCACGAAACUUUUCAAAUAGUCGAGUUUUGGCCGCUCAACUAUGAAUAGUGUGUUUUUACCCACUGAACUAUCAAAAGUGUAAAUUUUGACCCAUUCCUUCUUAUUUCACCAUUAACAUUGCCAAAUCUAACUAUAAUUAAUAUGCCUCCUGAAUCGUGUGGACCUCUAAAUCUAAUAGAGUUAAUGGCGGAAUUAGACAGAAUGGCCCAAAUAAUUCAGUGGGUAAAAACAUACUAUUAAUAACUGAGUGACCAUAUCUUGACUAUUCAAAAAGUUCAAUGACCACCCUGGUAAUUUGCUCUACUUAUAAUACUUGGUAGAACUUUUGUGUAAGUUUGAUAUCUCAAUGAUUCUCACCUAACUUUCUUGUUCCAACAAUACUGAUUCCUCUUCAUCCCUAUUUCGCUGCCUUUUGUUUAAGACCUUUGUUUGUAUGCAUGGGAACCGAAAUGUCUCAGAUAAUGCUUUUCCAAAAUUUUGUGGUGCAAAAAAUUUGUAUAGAUGUAACCCUACUGCUUUAGAUUAUGGCAAAUGGCAGAGAGAGCAAAAGAUGUUUAAUGCAAAAACUGAAUAGAUAUGGUUUCAUGGUUAACCACUUUUGGGAUACACAACUAUUUAAGUUUCUUUGAUUUGAUACUGGUUCAUAUUCAUGAUUCCCUUGCAUUUGACCUAGGUGCCACUCAAAUCUUUAGUAGAAUGGAUUUUGGCGAUUUUGAUAUUGGGGAUUAUCUAGGUAUCAACUUGUACUUCAGUCCAACUUCUCUCUCUCUCUCUCUCUCUCUCCUCCCUCGUCCUUGGCCUCUGACAUUCUCUUUUGCUGUCUGUUCAUCAUUUUAGCCAUUGGUGCAAUAUUUGCCGCAACAGAUUCUGUAUGCACUUUGCAGGUAAAAGAAAACAGUGAAGGUAGUCAAUACUUCCCUUUUGUCACACAUAGUAUGCUCUGAAACUAUAACUGUUGAUGUUGCAGGUGCUACAUCAGGAUGAGACACCCCUGCUUUACAGUCUGGUUUUUGGAGAAGGUGUUGUGAAUGAUGCUACAUCAGUGGUGCUUUUCAAUGCCAUUCAGGGCUUUGAUAUGUCAAAAAUUGAUCCUAAAAUCGCCCUGCAUUUUAUUGGAAAUUUUCUUUAUCUAUUCUUUACUAGUACCGUCCUGGGGGUAAUCGUAAGUCAGUCUCAAUAUCAAUCUCUCUCUGUUUCUCUCUUUCUUCUCUUUUGUGUGUGUCAAAGUACAGAUGGGUUAUUCAAGAAAACAGUUCCUUUACUUUCUUUUCUGCAGGCUGGAUUGCUUUGUGCUUACAUCAUCAAGAAACUGUAUUUUGGCAGGUAUAGGACAAAAAAGUCUUUUGCUGCUGCUGUACUGUUCUCUAUAGAUAUUUGUUUUCUGGUUGUCUUUGACUUGUAAGCUGUAACUGCUGAAAGAGAGGCUUCUGAUGCUAUCAAUACUAUCUUCUCUUGUGGGUGCCUGACAGUAAAAAUUCCACCAACGUCCACUAUGUCUCUAUUAAAACUGGACACUGAUCUUUUCUCGGCACUCCAGCAAAUUUUUUGAAAGAACAUGAUUGGAAAUUGUAAACUGUUUUUCCCCCCUUUUCAGCUCCAUAAUUUGACUGCAUACAGGAUAUCACAUCACUAUGCAGAUUCAGUAGAGGCUUUUUUUUUUUCCCAAGGGUCUGUGUUGCAAUUGUCAAUUUCUUAAAAAUUAUGAAGCUGGAAAAUCAGGACCUUUUUAAAUCAGCACCCCAAGCCCAAGUGCGUGUGGAUUUUGUUUUAGUUUAGAUGGAUCCAUCAUGAAAAAUAUUAGUUAAGUACAUGUUUCAAAAUAAAAUUGGAAAGCUUAAUUCUGUGUUUGAUGCAGUUCAUAGAAGUCUUUUUUGGUUGUGUUAUUUGUCUCUGUUGCUUGUUUGUCCAUUUAUUUGGUAGAUAUCUAAUUUGGUAUGUGAAGACUUGGAAUACUUCAUAGCAAAGGUGCUUGAUGUCAGUGAAUAUACCAUGCAUGAAAUUUACCAGGGAUGCAAAUAGUCAUAGGUUUGACUGGAUAUAUUAGCAUCUAUUUUUUCAAGAGUUGGGGAUUAUAUUUGGUUGUUGAUUUUCCUUGGUUUCUGUUUCUGCAAGUUAUUAUCUAUGCCAGACUAAAAUGAAUGCUAUCAUUCAGGCAUUCAACUGAUCGUGAGGUGGCUCUAAUGAUGCUUAUGGCUUAUCUAUCCUAUAUGCUGGCAGAAGUAAGAUACUAUUUGACUUUUCGUGCUGAGGAGCCUUGAUUUCGUUGCUUUCAGAUUCUUUUUGUUUAAGCAUUUGUUGUUGCUGCUCAUUUAACUUAACAUAGAUCUCCUUUAUCUACUAUUCAGUUAUUAGAUUUGAGUGGCAUUCUUACGGUGUUCUUUUGUGGGAUAGUUAUGUCCCACUACACCUGGCACAAUGUGACUGAGAGUUCAAGAAUUACUACCAAGUAUGCUCUCCUGGAAUGUCUUUUGCUUUUCUUUACAAUUGAAUUUGCAGAUAACUUCAUAUCAUUAGAAUAAGCUAUCAACCAAUAUUUUAAACUCUCUAUACAUUGAACUGACAGGCAUACCUUUGCAACUUUGUCAUUUGUUGCCGAGAUUUUCAUCUUUCUUUAUGUCGGUAUGGAUGCAUUGGACAUUGAAAAGUGGCGUUUUAUCAGUGAUAGGUAUGCCUUUAUUAGAUAUUUAGCAGUGAGGCCUAUCCUUCUUUCGCUAUCUUGAAAUAGAAUCUAGUUCUCAAAUGCAGAGAAAUAUUUUCUAGUACUCUUCAUUUUCUAAUUUGCUCCUAGUUUCUUGCAUAUGAAAUUGUUACGUAAUAACUUGCUAAUGAUGAUUUCUUCUCCUUUGCAGUCCUGGAACCUCAGUUGCCGUGAGUUCAAUUUUGCUAGGCCUGGUUUUACUUGGUAGGGCAGCUUUUGUGUUUCCCCUAUCCUUUUUAUCUAACUUGGCCAAGAAAUCUACAAGUGAUAAGAUUUCCUUCAAACAGCAAGUAAGCAUUUCCUGAAACUUGAUGUUAGGCAUUCUACUAGUUAUUUGAUCGUGGAGUUGACAAGUUCUGGUGCUUUAGGUCAUUAUAUGUUGGGCUGGCUUGAUCAGAGGUGCUGUGUCUAUGGCACUUGCAUAUAAUAAGGUAAGUAUGUGGAUAUAUUGGGCUGGCUUGAUGCAUGUUAUGCGCCAGCAGAAUUAUAUCUAUUGUGUGUGAGUAGAUGUGAAUUGGAAAUUGAAGAAGAGACAUCUGCACCCAUUUGUCACUCGUCUUUUUGUGGAUCUGAGUGGGUGUUUUUCUUAGUUCCUUUAUUGUCCUUGAACUGAAAAAUUUCUGCAUCUGUGUAGUUCACUAGCUUGGGACAUACUAACUUGCGAGGAAAUGCAAUAAUGAUCACUAGCACCAUUACUCUUGUUCUUUUUAGCACAGUGGUAAAUAACCCGUCUCCCUGCCUUCAUGUAUUCUCAUUUCUCCAUUGCGUUACCUCAUCUGUCUCAUCAGUUACCCACUGACCAGAAAUUUAAAAUCUAUUUAUUUGUUUUGACUUAGGUAUUCGGCUUAUUGACAAAGCCGCUUAUAAGGUUGUUGCUGCCACCUUUGAAACAUGCCACCAGUGCUGCAUCUUCUGACCCUAAUUCUCCCAAUUCACUCGGUGUUCCGCUAAUCAGCCAUUCACAGGACUCUGAUAGUUUUUUAAGCGGGCAUGACAUCCCACGGCCAUCUAGUAUACGCAUGCUUUUGACAACACCAACCCACACCGUGCAUCGUCUCUGGCGUAAGUUUGAUGACAGAUUUAUGCGUCCUGUGUUUGGUGGGCGGGGGUUUGUUCCUGUUGUUCCUGGUUCCCCUACAGAAGGUAAUCUAAGUUAAAUGUCUGCACUGAAUGAAUUAAAAGCAAAAGAUAGAGACUCACGGGAGAUGUGCUCUCAACAAGGGUUGGACUUGCUGACCGAGUAUUUUGCUGUAAUUUCUAUGUAAAUUACCUUGCCAAGCUAACAUCAAGUUUUGUAUAGAUCAAAAACUACCAUGUAUACAUACUUGUGUCCAUAUAUGCAUAGGUAGAUGGUUGAAUAAGAGUUGUCAUAUUGGCAGUUGCCCAGCAUUCAACCAAGAAAAUCCUGCUAGAUUGCGGGGAUGUGAACUGUCAUAAAUUAGAAGACAAGUGGAGAAACUUUCCUCUUUCUUUUGACUUGAAAAGAGCAGUUUAACUUUCGUGUUCUUAACUGUUACAUUCCCUCCAAAGAAAAAGAGUUUCGUACCGUAUCAUGCUGUAUUCCAAAAUAGUUGCAGUUUUACAACUUCAAGCAAUGGAUGAGACAAUUGAACCGGUAACUUUUUUUCUCAUAUCUGUUCUACAUUUAGCGGUGCCUCCACACAGAAACUCCUACAUAUUUAUAAGUGCAGGAGAGAGAGAGAGAGAGAGAGAUUGGCGGGGGGGGGGGGGGAUGUAGCUCGUCCGAGGUGGAAGAUUUGUCGUUAUAACAUCUUAAUUGUUUGGAUAGUGUUCAUUUGCAUGGUUUUUUUAUUUACUUGCAUUAUCAACACUUUUUUUCAAUCAUUUUUUUAUCUCAAAUACGUCACAUCAAAAAAGUAUUACAGUAUUUUUUUUUUAAAAAAUAUUAUCCCAAAUAAUCUCAGUUACUGAGAGUUGCUGCAAUUAUGCCUAGAUUUUGUGCUCAAAUCUGUUAGAACCAUUUGGAAGGCUAUUCAAUGGAGUUCUCCAUUAGGCAAAUGGAUUUCAGGCUUGCAGCUGCACAUAUGCGCACAAAAGUAGCGUCUCAAGUGUUCCAUAGUACCGUACGUGUCAUGAGGACUUCCUUCUUGAGCGAAAUGUGGAAAAAUCUUUAGAAAUUAGAAGUAGCAGCUGGGGAAAAAUCGAUUCAAACGAGUCUUGAAUAUCAGUUACAUAAAUAAAUAGAUUAAAAAGUCGUAUAGGACAUUCUCUGUCUUGCUUGCUUGAAAAAUGAACAGUAUGGAUAAUCUUGUUUUGAAAUGAUUAUAUCCUCGUACUAAUCAAUUUAUCCCAUCAAAUUCAGACACUAUACCACAUGCAGUUAACAGAAUUGUGAGAAGGAAACUAGGCAUCCCCUGCUCAUACUGCUACUGUAGGAUACAUUUCUCCAGCAGUUAGUAUGAUGGGUAAAAAUGAUGAUUGCUAUAUUUUGCUAUUCCUUUAACUUAUAAAAGCUUUGCAGAUUACUAAACUACUUGGAUCGUAACUCAUAAGAGAUCAACCAAACUCACAAUAAAAGUUAAAAAAUGCAAAGCUUUUUUUUAAUUAACUCAACGGUUCUAUAUUAUCAAUCUCCAGUUUCUAAGAAAGGAAAACGAUCUGAAACGCAAGACCCAAACAAUGAACCAUCUCUUAAACUAUAUACAACAUUUUGCACACGCAAAAGACAGGUUUCUGAAAAUUUAUUUAUUCAAAGAGAUAUACAUAUACUAGUUGGCUGUGGCUAUAUUGUUAGGUGGCUAACAUAACGUAGAAAAAGCUCCCUUGCCCC